This 71730-nucleotide long non-coding RNA is filed under the name Eucalyptus grandis. RNAcentral's name for it is "long non-coding RNA (EGRA_LNC006511)". The record is from RNAcentral. Lineage: Eukaryota; Viridiplantae; Streptophyta; Magnoliopsida; Myrtales; Myrtaceae.
CUCACUCUUCUUGGUCAGUACCACUUCAUUUCAUAAGGCAAGAGUUUCCACUUCCUCCACUUCUUUUUUCACUGUCCACACGACCAGGAAUAAGGUUGAAGUAGAGGCUCUCUUGAAAUGGAAAUCUACUUUUGACAACCAUAGCCAAUCUCUCCUCUCUUCAUGGCACGGUGACAAUCCUUGCCGCUUUACCGGUGUCGCUUGCAACUACUACGGAGCCAUCACCCAUCUAAAUCUUUCCUAUGUCAGUUUGAGAGGAACUCUAGACGGCCUUGACUUCUCACGCUUAGCCAGUGUGGUUAGCUUUGAACUUGCCAACAACUCAAUCUAUGGCUCCAUCCCCUCAGUAUUGGUAACCUUUCCAAACUCAACUUUCUGGUCUUGCUUCAUGACUGUCAGGGGAAAUCCUCGAGUAUAAGUAUGCUGGAGAGUCUGCUUAAUUUGCCCUUUGUGCCAACAACUUGAGUGGACAUAUUCCUACCUCUCUUGGAAAAUUAGGCAAUUUAAUCAAACUAAGCAUUUCGCGAAAUAACUUAUUUGGUUCCAUUCCACAAGAAAUAUGCAACAUGAGGAGCUUGACAUUUCUUUUGGUAUGGCAAAAUAGAUUAUCAGGAUCCAUUCCUUUAGAAAUUGGGAGGCUCACUUCUCUCAAUAAACUUGACCUAUCAUCCAACAAUCUCACCAACUCAAUUCCUAAUUCCAUCGGAAACUUGUCAAAUUUAUCUCUACUUAACCUCUUCCAAAAUAAUUUGGUCGGUCCAAUCCCUACUUCUCUUGGAAAAUUGGGCAACUUAACCAUAUUUGACAUUUCACAAAAUGCCAUUUUUAGUUCCAUUCCACAAGAAAUAUGCAACUUGAGGAGCUUGACCCUUCUUUUUUUAUGGGGAAAUAAAUUGUCAGGAUCCAUUCCUUCAGAAAUCAUGAGGCUCACUUCUCUCAAUAAACUUGACCUAUCAUACAAUGAUCUCAUCGGCUCAAUUCCUCAUUCCAUCGGAAACUUGUCAAAUUUAUCUAUGCUUAACCUUGUCCAAAAUAAUUUGGUUGGUCCAAUCCCUACUUCUCUAGAAAAAUUAGGCAACUUAACCAUAUUUGACAUCUCACAGAAUGCCAUUUUUGGUUCCAUUCCUUCAAAUAUUGGGAGAUUGGUAUCUCUAGAAAGAUUGGAUUUGUCAGAGAAUGAUUUGGUUGGUCCAAUCCCAUCGUCUCUCCAGAACUUGAGCAGUCUAAACUUUUUAAGGCUCAACUCAAAUCACCUUUCAGGCUCGAUUCCACAAGAGUUGGGAAAAUUAAUAUCUCUUAUAGUAUUAGAUUUACGUGACAAUGAUUUGACUUAUCCAAUACCUACAUCAGUUGGAAGCCUAUCCAACCUAACAGUAUUAGUCCUUAAUGACAACAAAUUAUUUGGUUCGUUGCCUUCUGAAUUUAAUAAGUUAACGCAUUUGAGACAUUUGGAUCUAUCUAGUAAUGAACUAGAGGGGGAGCUGCCAGAAAAUGUAUGUCUUGGGAGAUCAUUGACAUAUUUCUCUAUCUUCAAUAAUAAUUUCAUGGGUCCCAUCCCAGCAACCCUAAAGAAUUGUAGCACAUUAAUCAGAUUGAGACUAGAAGGAAACCAACUUACUGGAGACAUAACAAAAGCUUUCGGAAUAUAUCCGCAUCUGUAUUUUAUGGACUUGAGCCACAAUCAUUUGAAUGGCAAACUUUCGUGGAAAUGGGUGCAUUAUCGUAAUUUGACGAGCUUAAGGAUAUCAAACAAUAAUAUUUUUGGUAAGAUACCUGCAAUAUUUGGAAGGAUGGCUCAGUUACAGGAACUGGACCUUUCUUCAAAUAGUUUGAGCGGAGAGAUUCCAAGGGAAUUAGGAAGCUUGUCGAUGUUGUUAAAACUUGAUUUAAGCAACAAUGCUAUCAUGGGAAAUGUCCCGACUGAGAUUGGACUUUUAUCCCAUCUAGCAUAUCUGAACUUGGCAUCAAAUAAUUUGAGUAGAUUGGUACCAAGGCAGCUAGGCUCAUGCAAACACUUGUUGAACUUGAACCUAAGCAGAAACAAAUUUCGAAAAAGCAUUCCUCUUGAGAUAGGCAAAAUACAAUCCCUUGAGGUUCUUGACUUGAGUCAUAAUUUGUUGACUGGAAACAUACCAGGAGAGAUUGGAAAGUUGAAAAUGCUGCGAAUUCUAAAUAUCUCCCACAAUGGUCUCUUUGGUUCUAUUCCACAUUCUUUUGGUGAUAUGUUGGCCUUGACUUCUAUUGAUGUAUCAUACAAUGAUCUGGAAGGUCCUCUCCCAAACGUCAAAGCUUUCAAUGAGGCUCCAUUUGAGGCAAUAGAGCAUAACAGAGGGCUCUGUGGAAAUGUUGUUGGCUCACCGAAAUGCAAUUGUACUAGGAGCAAAAAAUGUAAUCAACACGUUGGAGCUAGAAUCAUAGUUAUCCUCAUUCUCUCAUUCUUGGGGUGCCUCCUUCUCUUUUGCACCUCUAUCGUUCUUGUAAUCGUCAAUCAUCGUCGAAGAUGGAUUAUCAAGAGAGACAACAAUGAACGGGCAAAUGAUUUGGAUUUCAUGCAUAUUUUGAGUUAUGAUGGCAAAGUUUUCUACAACCGAAUUGUUGAGGCCACAGAAGGAUUUGACUCCAAGUACUAUGUGGGUGAAGGAGCAUAUGGAAUCGUUUAUAAAGUCAAGAUAUCACAAGGUAAAACAGUUGCCGUCAAGCAAAUCUCUUCAUCCCAGGAGGAUAGUGAGAUUAUUGAUUUGAUACCAUUUGAAAGGGAAAUUCAAGCGUUAACAAACUUACGCCAUCGCAACAUUGUGAAAUUUUAUGGAUUCUGCUCUCAUGUCCAACGUUGUUUUUUGGUGUAUGAGUACAUGGAAGGAGGAAGUUUGAGAACAACUUUGAACGAUGAUGAAAGAGCAAAAGAAUUUCGAUGGGACAAGAGGGUAAAUAUGGUUCGAGGAGUUGCAGAUGCAUUAUCUUAUAUGCAUCACGAAUGUUCACCUCCAUUGAUUCAUCGAGACUUGACUAGCAACAACAUUCUAUUAGAUCGCGAUUAUGAGGCUCGUGUUUCCGAUUUUGGCACCGCAAGGCUGUUGAGGCCAGAUUCAUCAAAUUGGACGACAAUUGCUGGCACAAUCGGGUAUAUCGCUCCAGGUACUCCGUAAUCUUUUUUUCAAUUUCAAUGGGUAGACAUCCCUUCUAUAGUUGAACUUUCACUAGGUUCUUUGAUUAUUUAAUCUUCUUAUGGAAAUUAGUUUACUAAUAUAGAGUUUUCAAGUUUAGUGUUGAUCAUAAAGCUUUCAGAUUUCCCUAAUAAAGAUGAAUUGGAAAAUGAGGAAAAACAUUAUAAUCGAUCCAUUUCAAGGAUUUAAGUUCGCGUUACCUUUAACCCAAGAAAAAAAAAGUUGAUGUUACCUAAAUGAUGCUCGUACUUUAAGCGUCAAAUAAAAUCCUUUGAACUUCACCAAAGAAUAAAUUCCCCUGCUCAAAUAAAUUUUAUAAGUGUAGAUCAAGUAGAAAAUUGUACUUGUAAUCGUUGGAAGCAAUGUUGUCAACUUUAAUACAUCUUGUGAUUAAGUUUAUAAGAAAAUAAGAUUUCUCCACUUGCAGAGCUGGCUUAUUCCACGAUUCCAACCAAAAAGUGCGACGUGUAUAGCUUUGGAGUUGUUGCAUUUGAGACAAUCAUGGGAAAAUAUCCAGGAGAUCAUGUCCCUCGAGAAUAUUCACCGUCUGCCCAAACUGAGUCUUCGAUGAUGUUGAAGGAUGUGCUAGAUCAACGUCUCUCACCAUCUAGACUUUGUCUUCGAGAUGCGCAAAAUGUGAUCUUGAUUGCCAAGCUAGCAUUCGCGUGCUUGCAAGCCGAUCCACGGCUUCGACCGAGUAUGGAACAAGUCUCACAUGAACUUCGUGUUCAAGUACCCUUGGAAAUGCCACUCUCUACAGUCAGCUUAGAGCAACUUCGUGAUCUUGGUGCUAGGAAAUUUGGAGCAUUCAUAGGGGAUGGUAAGUUUUAAAUUUACUUUUCAUGUGUUAUUUUCUUUGGUUCAUUAGAAUGAUGAUGAUCACCUUUAAUAUCCUCUUAGUUCUUGCUCAUCUCCACCAUGUGAUUUAUGAUUUUCACUGCAGAGCCAGCUUGUCUUUAAACGAUACAGGGAUGGUGCGAUGUUUAUUGUUUGGAAUCGUGGCACCAAAAACAAUCAUAGGAAGGCCUCAGGGGAGGUCUUAUUUCACAAUUAUUUCAAAGUUUUUACAGAGCAAUCAGGAAGUAAAUUUGCAAAAUGUAUUGGAUCAACAUCCAUUACCUUCUUUUACUCGAGAUGUGAAGAACAUGUAGUCUUUGCUUCUAGAAGUGAUAAUGAUAUUAAUUGCUCGUGAAAUUUUUAUCAAAGUGCAGUAUCAUACUUGAACUUUCAAUUAGUUCAAUGAAAUCACUUUUGACUAAUGGGCAAUACUAAAUAGGGAAUUUGAAUUGGUUCAAUUACAUAGGACAAAUGGUCUACCUAAUUUUUAGACUCAAUCAACAUAAGUUGAUCAUUCAAACUUAUAGAGCCAUAAAACUAGUAAAACUGGAAAAAUUUCAUAUUUCUCACACAAAGUCCAUUCUCAGUUCUUUAAACUUCAAAGGAAUAUGUGCACUACAAGUCCUAAAACUUGUCAUGAAAGUAUAAUUGAGUCUUAAAAUUUUCAAAAAAUUCAAUUAAGUUCUAAAACUUGUCAAAUUGGUGCAAUUAAGUCAUUCCGUUAACACCAUUGAUCUGUCUAACGAAAAAUGAUUGCGUGGCAUUGUUAAAUUCAUUUCCCUCUCAUACGUGGCAUUUUUAUUAAUUUUCCUUCAAAUUUUAUUUAAAUAAUAUUAAAAAGCUAAAAUAAUUUUAAGAAAAAAACUGGAAAAAGAAGAACAAAAACGGACAAGGGCUCGCUAGUGCAGUGGGUGUUGCCAUCCCUUCGCCAGGUAGGGUGAAGUCUUGCUGGCGAGGGAACUUGUUGGCGAGGUUCCCCUAGAUCUGGGCAACGUUGGCCCUUGCUCGAGCCUAAUAAGAGUCUUUGGCACAAGCAAGGGCCCACAUCAAGCAAAUUUGGGCGUGCCACACUAGCCCCAGGCAAGGGUUGGCAAGGCCUUGCCUAGGCCUAGCAAUGGUCAUCGGCCCUCCUAGGGCCAACAACGCCUCAUUUGAGGUGGGCGAUGGUCACUGACCUCGGGGAGGGCUGAUGUUGCUAGAUUUGGGUAGCCUCAACCCAAUCUGGAUAAAUAUUGCUGGCUAUUGACACCUAAAUUUUGACUAAGUAUGUACGGUUAAAUUGCAAGAAAAUUAGGGAUCGAUUCGACCAUAACAAAAAGGAUUUUCACAUCGCAUAAGCAUUAAUUUCUUUUGCAUCUGCUAAGUUUUAUUUUCAUUUAAUUUUCCCUUAUUUUACCUUAAUUUCGGAUAAAAAAUAUUUUAAAAAGGGGGCUUGCGAGGCUCAGCCCCCUUUCCCUCUUUUUCCCCGCGCGCGGGCCCAGGCCCAUUCCACCUAUUAUUUCCCUCAGCCCGGCCCUUCCCCCUUUUCUUCUCCUUCUUCCUUCCUCCUUCCUCCUUCCUCCUUCGUGAAUCUCCCGCUCGAGAGCCCACGGAAGGAGAGAGAAAUCGAGAGAGAGAGAGAGAGAGAGGCCGAGAGAGUGAGCGAGAUCUGAGAGAAAUCCGGCCGUGAAAGAGAGAGAAUGCAACUGAGAGGGCCACCCUUGGCCGCCAUUUCUGAACCAGAACCGAUGAUCUGCCGCCGCUCCUUGUCCACUCUAAAGCCACGGUAGAUCCCCGUUCAGGCGAUCUUGGCUUUUUUCGAUUCGGCGGCCUCCCGAGGAUCCCGGAUCGCGGGCGUGUGAGGCGGACGGACGUAGCCCGAUCUAUCGAGCUCGUCCGCUGUCUGACGCCGCGAGCUGGGUAGGGACUCUCGACCGACCGCCUUUGUUUGUUUUUUUUUUUUUUUUUUUUGGUGCCCAUGCCCUGUUUCGGGCUCACCGGACCGGCCUGCCGCUUUCCGGUUCGUGCGAGUUUCCGGCCUUAUUUGUGUGCGUACUACUGUCUCGGGGCCUAGCGUGUCAAUUUCUGUGAAUCCCGGCUCGAGCCCGGGCUCGGUCGUCCCCGUUCCUCACCCCCAGUUUGCAUAUAUCCUGCUCGACGAAAUGCCCAAGUAAGAUUUGUGCGGUUGAUUCUUAGUUCUCCGUCCGUCGUGGGUGCUCGUCGCUCGUCAAACGCAUUUUGAUAAAUCCUCAUUGCUAUCCUUCGCUUUGCACGUUCUUGUUUCGACGUUCUUUGUGUGCGCGUCGUGUUUCCAGGCAACCGUUUCAUGGCCGGCAAAGAGGAAAGACGGUGGUGGUUAUGGCCAUGGAUGACAGCCGCGUGAUGGCUGGACAUGGCUCUAGCGGCACCCGUGUUUUUUUAAAAAGAUUUGCGUUUCGUUGGCGUUUGAGUUAGCGAGUCUCCUCGGUCCAUCGAAAAAAAGGUUCGCGUGUUCCGGGAGGGGGUUCUGCGAGCAGCUCGCAUGGGAGGAGAGACGAGAGCGAGAAAGGGAAAGAGAAAAUGAAAAAGCGAAAACGACAAAAGAAGGAAAAGACAAAAGAGGAAGGAGGAAAAAAGAAAAGGGGAAAUACGGGAAGAAGCGGUCUUUUUUCUUGCUAGCUGUUCGGAGGGAGCGCGACCCGGGUCGGUCCGGUCGGACCCAAAUCGGGCCGGCGCCCGGUGUCAGCUUAUUAUUAUUAUUAUUAUCAUUAUCAUUAUCAUUAUCAUUAUUUAGUUUUUAAAAAAUCAAAUAAAAAAGAAAUAAAAAAAUCCAGAAAAAUCUCUUUUUUAGGGAAAGGCCUAAAAUUGAUUUUGGGCAUUUUUCUCUAAAAAAUGCAUGAAAAAUCCUUUAGAAAUUUCAGAAAGUAGCAAAAGGCCCAAAAUGGUUUUGUUUUGGAGUAUUUGUAAUGCAUGAAAAAUCUUUCAAAAAAAAUAAUAAUAAUCAAAUCUUGAUGUUUAAAUAAGAUUAUGUCCCAAAAGGGUAUUAGUUGAUUAAUUGUUGUAAUCAAGUUCUCAAUCUUGAUUUUUUCGGUUAUGUAGGAGUCAAAUAUUUCUCAUAAUAUUUUACUUGGGUUUUUAAUCGAUUCACCCCAAAUCGAUUAGUGAUGAUUUCUAAAUGAAAAUAACUUAUAUGUUAAAAACUCGGACCAUAAGUCGCAAAUUGAUAAGCUUGAGAGAAUCCGAACUAAGCCUAGACUUAGAGCUAGCCAUUAGCCUCCACACCCGUGAAUAGAACUUUGGGGAGUUUGCGAUACCAAUUCUUGCCUAGGGUUGGCAAGGCCUCGGUUGGGGCCGUCAAGGGCCGGCUACCUUCAGUGGCCCCUCCUACGAUGGGUGGUAGUGGCACAACACACUAGCGAGUCCCUGCCCUUUUUCGUUAUUCUUUUCCGAACUUUUUGACUAAACGAAAAAUUAAAGAUCCAUAAGAUUAAUUAUCAUAAAUAAAAUCAUAAGGCAAAACAAAAAUCAUAACAUUGCAUAAAUAUUAGCAACAAAUAUGGGUCUAAUUUUAUUUUUAUUCCCAUAACUAUCACAUGAAGCUGUUCAUUUAUGCAAGCAUAACUCCUCUUACAAAAGAGAAAUUAGGCGAGCCAAUCCACAUGAUACACAAGAAUUUGACGGCAAUGAAAACCGUCCGUCCGUCGGAUGCUGCAAGAGGGAGCAGGUGAGGGAGGGAAGCGAGUGAGGAAGAGGAACGACGAAGGAGGAGUGCCGUGCAUGUCUGAGAGAGACAAGAGAAAAAAUGCUGCGUGAUUGCAGGAGUAAGAAUAGAAAUCAGGGGAAAAAAAGAAGGUUUUGGACCUCUACUUACAAAACCGGUUCCCAAACUGAUUCCAAAACCAGUUUGGGAACCAAUUUCUGGGUGGGUAAUCACUCGGAACCGAUUCCCAGAUUGGUUUAAACCGGUUCCCGGACCAUUUUCAAUGGGAACCGGUUCCUGACCUUAUUUUUUGGGUGGGUCAGUCCAGUUCUCGAGUAUACUCGGUCCGGUUGCACACCUCUAGUUGUAACACUAAAGCUUGUAAUAUUGAUACUAACAGUAGAAGAUUGCCUAGUGCGGCAUCGUAAUUUUUCCCUUUUAUUUAUUUAUUUUAUUUUGGGAAGGUUUUCUACGUAAAAAUUCUCGCUUGUUUUCUUUUCUAAUUUUCUCUUCAUAUAUUCACAUUUCCAACAAUUAAGUCCCUUAACUUUUGUAUGUGUGCAUUAUAAGUCACAAACUUUCAAUUGGUUCCGUCAAAUACCUCUACAAUUUGAAUAAAAUGACAUGGGAAGGUGCGAAGCCUGAUUGACCUAAUAAAUAUUGCCAUAUUGCCCAUUUAAGAUAUUCAAUAGUUGGGAUGGAGCUUGGAACGGGGUUCCGUAGGAAAUUAGGCUAAGAUCCAGAGAUUUCCGAUUUGUUACUAGUAAUGUGGUAUCUUAUGAGCUCAAGGGCGAACUUGGCGAACCUAGCGAACUUAAACAUCUUAGUAGCUAGGCAAUCGUUGUAUGAUGCUAUCUAGUUCCCCCUAUCCGAAAAUACAUCUACAAGCGCUUGUUGGCCCCCUACCGGUUAUUGUAUGAGGUUUACCCAAUGCUAGAUGUAGAGGCACAUCAUAGAUCGAUAUGAACAUCAUGAACUGUCCUGCAAUAAAGCCCAUUGGAAAUCACCUAUCCAAUCUCUUUUUUUUUCUUCGAUCCAACAUGCCUUCUUGCAUGGACUUGGGCCUACUUUGAUGAUGGGUAGUCUUGUUGUGCUUUGGCCCUUCUAUGGGCUUUCAUCAAAGAAAGCGGGCUUGAUAGGCCCGGAGAGAAAUAGUAAUCAUGGCUACUAAUAAAAUAAGACUCGGAACCAAAAACCAAACGAAAUGGUAGGUAUAAAGUAAAUUGCCCAAUGUUUUUAAAUUAGCUAAACUUCGUUCGAGAUAUGACAACUCUUUUUUUUUUUAUAGUAAAAAAUGGUAUAGAAAUUAUAAAUUCAUCCCUCCAUUUUAUCUGCUGUGAAUGCUACCACUGCUUGAGUACUCUCGCUCUUGCUUAUCUUGCUACAACAAAGCAAGCUUAGGAAUGAAUUGAAUGGAAAUUUAGGUCUCUGUCCCCACCUACCAAUUGUAGAAGUAGGAUCUUUGGCAAGCAAUAAGCACUUAAAUAAUACAAUUUCGGCUUGUCUCCAUUUUCGUGAAACUAUUCCUCAAGCAAGACAGCCGAUAAGUCAUUGAAGGGUUUGCGUGAAUAAUGGAAUGGUAAGCAUUACUCAUUUGAAAGUAUCCCAUGGUGAUCUAAUAUCUUUCCAAGAAAAUGAUGCGAGAAUCCGCGGUGAAGAAUUAAGGAGAUCUUUCUAUAUUGAAAUAUCAAUUGAUAAAAUCAUAGGCAAAUUCCUGCCGAUAAGAAUGUAGAGAAGAAUGAAAACAGAAUGGUUCCACCUACUCAAAACUAAGAGAAGAUGCACCUGCAGUCUGGACUCUUGUAGGCGACGUUGUUGCGGAUGGCUUCCAUUUUUAAAAGAAAACCAACAAGCUUCCAAGGUUGGGGCCAUGAGUUGGCUUUCUUGAACUCCUAGUAAAGGCGAACAGCUAUUUUAGGAUUAUAUAAGCUAUAAGCACUGAAGUGCGAAACUAACUUAAAGACAUGGGACAUCGAUUAAGUAAAACUUAAUGGAGAAAGGCAAGGAUGACGGUGACUCUGAAACUAAUCAAACCAUUUAAGGAAUUUUGAAUAUGGAGAGUAAGAAACCUUAUGAAAAGGUCUAAAUAAAUUGAGAACAAGAUGAUGCGAUGGUUUUAAUGUUGGAAGUUUAUGAAAAUUUCGAGUAUGUAUACUUGAUAGAACCCUCAAAAUCUGAUUAAACCAACUUAUGGACUGGACCGCUUACGAUCUGAAAGGCUAAUCUCACAUUAUGUUGAAACGAGGGGCUUGCCUCGAGCUAAAAUUCACAGCGACUUUACUUGAAUAGCUCAACAAGACCAAAACGCAAGUCGAUGACAUGACAGCUUCAUUAGAGCACUAACAUCAUAAAUGCCUUUGCGGUGUUAUAUCUUACUCAAUUAUUCAAUUCCAGUGGAUGAAGUCGAGACCAUAAUGACUACUAUAAUUAGACCCAUCAUUUACCGAGAUUAAGUCAAGACACAAUGACGUUUUUAUCGUGGUCGAACUCAAGUUAACUGGAUUUAUGCAAAGCUCAGUAUCCAGUUCGACCUUGAUUUAGUUGUUCAAUAAAUUCAAGCCCGACUAUUCGAUUCUGCAAUUAGCAAGUAAGUCUGUUGGGAGCUGGAGUCUAGAUCGAGUCUAACUCAAGUAAGAAUUGAGAGAUACUGCAAAAGGGAGUAUAAAAAAUUAAUGCUGUCUUUCUAUAUAUUGUAUUUAUAGUCUGAUCAUAUGUAUGCACUCAAACAUAAUUCAACAGCUCGAUUAGCUUGGCUCCAAAGCAAGAUACUCAAGUUAGGCCGGCCCAGUUAAGAACUUACUUGGACUUAGCAAAAUUCAAAGAAUCCAUCUCGUGUCUCACGAGUAGCAUGAUUAGUUUCCAUUUCUACGCGCAACUUUUUCGUUACGCAUACCUCCGAACGAUUAUGACUUGAUUAUUACUAUCUAAAAUUAGGCAUUUCGCAUGAACAAGAUGCGUACAUUGAGUUUGAUAGGGAAUGGGUGACCAUUGGCUUCCCUUUUUAUUCACCGUGAAUAAUACGAGAAGAAAGCUAUACACACUCCAGUUGGAUUGGCGUCUUUCUAAGGUUACUAAAAAUGGCACGCGCGUUGCCGGGAAAAUAUGAAAUUUUUUGUAAAAUACUUUUUUUAGUGAAAAGAUUAUAAUCAAUGGUGAAAAAUAAAAAAUAAAAAACAUAACUCAUGUGGCCUCAUAUCGGGCGAUCUUCUUAUCAUGUAAGCCAAUACCCCACACAAAAAUUUCAAUUCUAUAUAGUACAAACUAAGAAUUUAACUUUUCGAGAAGCUGUGUCCUUUCAUGUUACAAGCAAUCAGGAAUUUUGUUGAAGCCGAAAUAUUGAGCUAAACUUCACCAAAGCAUGACAACAAUGAUGAGACUCUCAGAAAUAAAAACGCCAAUUCCAAAUCAAACGAAUUCUCAUGAAUAUCAUCUGUCAAAAGCAGCAACUGAAUGGAAAUAAUCUGCACGCUGUGACUUAUUUCAGAAAGGGUUUGAGUCUAUUUCCUUGCUUUUUAUUACUGUCAAUUGGAAGAGUUCUUUAGAAAGCCCGUAGAAAAAGUGAAGCCAAAGAUUGUUUUUGCCCCAACCAUCAGGAAAUCACGGCUUGAACAAGCCAAUGGGUCGAUGAGAAAUUUUGAGAAUUCUUAUAAAAAUCUGAAUUUUUAUAUCACACAAAUAAUUGAAAGAGAAUCCCAUUCCACGAAUCAAAUCACUUGAAACGAAAAUCCGGAUAGGAAUCAAUAUCAAUGGACUUGUGGCAACUCACAGACCAGAGAGAGAUGAUAAGUCUCACAAAUUGAUGUGAAUAACUAGUGAUUCAAGAGUACGGAUCCUCAAAUCGACCAUUUUCCAUAAAUUUGCUCGACAUGUUAGUUUCAAUGAAGACUUGGAAAAGUAAGUCAAGCAUGCUUGUCCUAAGAGCAAAGUACACUCCAAACUGAUUGAAAAGGGGAAGGUAAAAAGAUUCUAAAAGCCCUAAACUUUGUCUAGUGUGACAAAAUUAUCCUAAUUUUUUUUUGUAACACAAAAAUCCCAAACUUUGUCAAUUAUGACACAUUUAUCCCAAACUAUAGGGCAUUUUCGUCUUUUAUUUUUAUUUAUUUUUUCUUGUUGUUUUAUUUUUUUCUUUUCUUUUUCUUCUUCUCUCUUCCCUCCGCCGGCCAGACGGAGGGAAGAAUUUAACUUUUCGAGAAUCUUUGUGUCCCUUCAUGUUACAAGCAAUCAGGAAUUUUUUUGAAGCCAAAAUAUCAAGCUAAACUUCACCAAAGCAUGACAACAAUGUGAGACUCUCAUAAAUAAAAAUGCCAAUUCCAAAUCAAACGAAUUCUCAUGAAUAUCAUCUGUCAAAAGCAGCAACUGAAUGGAAAUAAUCUGCACGCUGUGACUUAUUUCAGAAAGGGUUCGAGUCUAUUUUCUUGCUUUUUAUUACUGUCAAUUGGAAGAGUUCUUUAGAAAGCCCGCAGAAAAAGUGAAGCCAAAGAUUGUUUUUGCCCCAUCACCAUCAGGAAAUCACGGUUUGAACAAGCCAAUGGGUUGAUGAGAAAUUCUGAGAAUUCUUCUAAAAAUCUGAAUUUUUAUAUCACACAAAUAAUUGAAAGAGAAUCCCAUUCCACGAAUCAAAUCACUUGAAACGAAAAUCCGGAUAGGAAUCAAUAUCAAUGGACUUGUGGCAACUCACAGACCAGAGAAAGAUGAUAAGUCUCAUGAAUUGAUGUGAAUAACUAGUGAUUCAAGAAUAUGGAUCCUCAAAUUGACCAUUUUCCACAAAUUUGCUUGACAUGUCAGUUUCAAUGAAGACUUGGAAAAGUAAGUCAAGCAUGCUUGUCCUAAGAGCAAAGUACACUCCAAAUUGAUCGAAAAGGGGAAGGGAAAAAGAUUCCAAAAACCCUAAACUUUGCCUAGUGUGACAAAAUUAUCCUAUAUAUAUAUUUGUAACACAAAAAUCCCAAACUUUGCCAAUUAUGACACAUUUAUCCCAAACUAUAGGGCAUUUUCGUCUUUUACUUUUAAUUUUUUUUUUCUUGUUUUUUUUUUUCUUUUCUUUUUCUUCUUCUCUCUUCCCUUCGCCGGCCAUGACGGAGGGAAGAAUUUAACUUUUCGAGAAGCUUUGUGUCCUUUCAUGUUACAAGCAAUCAGGAAUUUUGUUGAAGCUGAAAUAUCGAGCUAAACUUCACCAAAGCAUGACAACAAUGAUGAGACUCUCAGAAAUAAAAACGCCAAUUCCAAAUCAAACGAAUUCUCAUGAAUAUCAUCUGUCAAAAGCAGCAACUGAAUGGAAAUAAUCUGCACGCUGUGACUUAUUUCAGAAAGGGUUCGAGUCUAUUUUCUUGCUUUUUAUUACUGUCAAUUGGAAGAGUUCUUUAGAAAGCCCGUAGAAAAAGUGAAGCCAAAGAUUGUUUUUGCUCCAACCAUAAGGAAAUCACGGCUUGAACAAGCCAAUGGGUCGAUGAGAAAUUUUGAGAAUUCUUCUAAAAAUCUGAAUUUUUAUAUCACACAAAUAAUUGAAAGAGAAUCCCAUUCCACGAAUCAAAUCACUUGAAACGAAAAUCCGGAUAGGAAUCAAUAUCAAUGGACUUGUGGCAACUCACAGACCAGAGAGAGAUGAUAAGUCUCACGAAUUGAUGUGAAUAACUAGUGAUUCAAAAAUACGGAUCCUCAAAUCGACCAUUUUCUACAAAUUUGCUUGACAUGUCAGUUUCAAUGAAGACUUAGAAAAGUAAGUCAAGCAUGCUUGUCCUAAAAGCAAAGUACACUCUAAACCGAUUGAAAAGGGGAAGGGAAAAAGAUUCCAAAAACCCUAAACUUUGACUAGUGUGACAAAAUUAUCCUAAACUUUUUUUUUGUAACACAAAAAUCCCAAACUUUGUCAAUUAUGAGACAUUUAUCCCAAACUAUAGGGCAUUUUCAUCUUUUACUUUUAAUUUUUUUCUUGUUGUUUUCUUUUUUCUUUUCUUUUACUUCUUCUCUCUUCCCCCCCCCCCCCCACCCCAACGUUGAGCAAGGGCCGCCCUCACCCUAUCCGGGGAGGGCAACCCUCGCCUGACGCAGGCGAGGUCAUUCCUUGCUAGAUCCAGCCCAGGUGAGGGCUGUCCUCGUCAAAUCUAGCAAGGGCUAUCCUUGCCUAGGUCGACGAGGUUUGUCUUUGCUUGACCUUGCUGAGCUAAGUGAGGGUAGCCCUCGCCCAAUGCCGGCGACAACGGCCCUCACCUAAGUCCGCCUUCCCUUCGCCAUGGCCGAUGGAGGGAAGAGAGAAGAAGGAAAAAGAAUGGGAAAAGAAGAAGAAGAGGAAAGACGGAAAAAUAAAAAAAAUUUUAAAAAAAAAUUAAAAGACAAAAAUGCCAUUGGAAAUAGAGUUUAGGGUAAAUGUGUCAUAGUUGGAAAAAUUUGGGAUGUCUUGUGUCAUAAAAAAAAAUUGGGGUAAAUUUGUCAUUCUGGGCAAAAUUUACGAUUUUUAGUGGCUUUUUCCCAAAAAUGAAAAGAUAUAGUAUUUUAAUGAACAACUGCUUUAGAGUAUUAAUUUUGAAAUCUACUGUUUAUUUUGGUCCUCUCGCUUAGAACUAAUAUUUAUGGAAUUAUCAUUUUCAUCUCGCUCUUUUUCAUAUUUUACUAUCUUGAUUUUUCCAUGAAUUAAUUUUCAAGGAACUUGUCUUAAUAGUAUGAUACAAUAACGUGUAGUCUAACAUGGGAUUAUAUAUCUUUCUCAGAUAUCAAUAGGAUAUCAGCAAAUCGAUAAAUUGUUUAGGCACAAACAAACAUAAGGGGGUGAGUUUGUGAUCUAAGGAAAUUUCAAAAAAUUUCUAGUGAAGAGCAUGCACUAGUACUCUAGAGAGAAACGUGCAUAUACAAAAUACUUAUCUUCCAUCAGUGAAAGGCAUUUAAAAAUAGAAGAAUUGCAAAGCAUAUUUAUGGGACUUUGGCCUGUCCAUUUGGCUUACUCAGCUCUCUCAGCUUUAACUGUCCAAACAAAUACUGGAACCCACUAUAUAAUCCUUGAGAUAUUACUGCAUCCAAAGAUAGUUCCUUCUACUUGUAACUUUGCUUUUACAUAUAAUUUGUAUAACGUAUUGACAAAGUUUCUCUACAUAUCUUGUCAUCAAUUCAUGUGCCUACUAUUACUCUCGGAUAUUUAAAGAAUAUAAUCCGUUAUGUUCAAGAUUAGAACAUGAGGAUAAUGUUUUUGGUAGUGUGGCAUAAUAGCUCAACAACAAUGAAUUUGCGCGAUGGUCAUUGAUUGGUGAGCGGCGUAAUUCUUGUCUUUUGAGUGACCAAAAGCAAGUUGGAAGUAUGGAAACGCGGGUCGAGAGCACCUAGUAUCUAGGAAUGUAAUCCCUUCCAUCCUUUGGAUGGUCGUAGCUGAUCAUAGCAGGAUUUACUCGUAUUGAUCCAUCAAUCGCACAUGGCCAUGACCAUCCAACAUGUACAUAGACCGUAUGGGGAUAGAUCCAAACAUAUUAAUAUCAAGUAAUAAUCAAAGUGUGCUCCUUGACUAUAUAAGAAAGAUUAUGUUAAGUAAUCGGUUGGUGCAUAUAGAUAACCUACAUGGGACCCAACUGAAUUUCAUAAUUUUUUGCUGAACCGAAUUCGAUUCGUAUAAGGUUGAACUGCUGCCCUUGUAAGGGAGAGAAGGUACAAUAUUCUGGAAAUGAGAGAAAAGGCAUGCUAAAAUGAGUGGCCUCAUACUUGCAUCAUCAUUCUCCGAUAAUAUCGAUUAUCACUCUCAUACAGUUUUGACUUAAGACCUAAGCAAAUUAAUAACUUGCACUUUGAGUAUACCAACACUUAAGUUGAUCAAUUUUUCAUAUAUUUACUUGACUGGCUAGGUCAAUUUCAAUGAAGGCUCGAAAAAGUAGGUCGGGCAUGGAUAUUAAAAAUGAUCAAGAUGCCAUAAAAUGCCCCCUCAGAAGUACGGGUUUCUGAUUUUGGCACCACACGACUAUUAUUCAUCAAAAUGGACUGCAUUAGCUGGUAUUAUCGACUACAUCUCUCUAGGUAUUUAUGACCUUUAUAAUUUCUUUCUUUUCAAUGACAUUAAGGAUCCAGAAAGGCACUGUAAUUGAUCUGGCUAGUUCAAGGAUACUAAAUUUAUGUAAUCAAAAUGAUAUCUGCUCGUAAUUUUUUACCUAUACCCAUCACAUGAAGAGGAAUCCAUGUCGUUGACUCAAGUGUAGCUGAUGAGGUUAUGAACAAGUUUUGAUAUCUUCACUUGCAGAGCUGGCUUAUUCUACAAUACCAACUGAAAAAUGUGAUGUGUAUAACUAUGGAGUCAUCACGUUAGAGACAAUCAUUGGAAAGUAUUCGGAAGAUAUUUUUUCUUGGGAAUAUUCAUCAUCCACCGAAAUUGAGUUGCCAAUACUGUUAAAGGAUGUGCUAGAUCAACGUCUGUCGCCUUCCAGAGUUUGACUUCAAGAUGCGGAAGACGUGAUCUCUAUCGCAUGGCUAGCAUUCAAGUGUCUGCGAGCCAAUCCGCGGCUUCAACCGUCCAUGAGACAAGUUUCUCGGAAGCUCCGCGUUCAAGUACCCCUGGAGAUGCCAUUCUGUGCAGUCACGUUUUGAGCAUCGGAAGGGGAUUGUAAGUUUUGAAGUUAGCUUUACGGGUGCACCGUUUGCUGUUUGUUUGUUUGUUUUUAUUUAUUUAUUUUUGGUGGGGGGGGGGGGGGGUGUUCAGUCUGUUGGGUAUUUAAGUCUCCAGCAAAAAGUUAAUACUCUUGCUAAGAACAGUUGCUUCUCUUUUGCGGGCUUAUCAGGAUUAUAAGAGCCAAUCUUACUCGACAAUUUGGAUUAUCUUCUUAGUCCUUACCAAUCCCACCAUCUUAAUUAUUUUAACUUCAGAGCUUGUUAACCUUUGAACAUUAUUCGAUCACUGCCGCGUCGGCAAUUGUACUUGGAGUCGUGGCAUCAAAAAUAAUCAUGGGAAGGCUUCUGUGGGGGUCUUACUUCACUAUGGUUUCCAGCUUAUCGCAAUGAGAUCAGGAAAGAUUUUGCAAAAUGCAUCAGAUCAACAUCGUUGAAUGUAGUUUUCCAUUUCGAAAGGGAUAAUGAACCUACUAGUCAGUAAAAAUUUGUCUGGGUGCAAUUCAAACUCUAGUUGAUUCAACUCACUCCCUUAACUUUUGUAUGUGUGCAAUAUAAGUCCCAAACUUUCAAUUGGUUCUGUCACAUCCCUCUACAAUUUUAAUAAAAUGACAUGGGACAUCAAUUCAGUAAAACUUAAUGGAGAAAGGCAAGGAUGACAGUGACUCCGAAACUAAUCAAACCAUUUAAGGAAUUGUGAAUAUGGAGGGUAAGAAACCUUAUGAAAAGGUCUAAAUAAAUUGAGAACAAGAUGAUGCGAUAGUUUUAAUGUUGGAAGUUUAUGGAAAUUUCGACUAUGUAUACUUGAUAGAACCCUCAAAAUUCGAUUAAACCAACUGAUGGACUGGACCGCUUACCAACUGAAAGGCUAAUCUCACAUCAUGUUGAAACUAGGGGCUUGCGUCGAACUAAAAUUCACGGCGACUUUACUUGAAUAGGUCAACAAGACCAAAACGCAAGUCGAUGACACGACAGCUUAAUUAGAGCACUAACAUCAUAAAUGCCCAUGGAGUGUUAUAUCUUAUUAAAUUAUUCAAUUCCAGUGGAUGAAAUCGAGAACAUAAUGACUACUAUAAUGAGACCCAUCAUUUACCGAGAUUAAGUGGCAUAAAUCAAAACAAAUCGACAUUUCCAUCGUGGUCGAGCUCAAGUUAACUGGAUUUAUGCAAAGCUCAAUAUCCAGUUCGACCUUGAUUUAGCUUUCAAUAAAUUCAUGCUCGACUAUUCGAUUCUACAAUUAGCAAGUAAAUCUGCUGUGAGCUGGAGUAUAGCUCGAGUCUAACUCAAGUAAGAAUUGAGAGAUACUACAAAAGGGAGUAUAAAAAAUAAUGCUGUUUUUCUAUGUAUGGUAUUUAUAGUCUAAUCAUAUGCAUGCACUCAAAUGUAAUUCAACAGCUCGAUUAGCUUGGCUCCAAAGUAAGAUACUCAAGCUAGGCAUUUUCAAGCAUGAACUCAGCCCAAUUAAGAACUUCUUAAUUGGACUCGGCCAAAUUCAAAGAAUCCAUCUCGUAUCUCACGAGUAGCUUGAUUAGUUUCCAUUUCUACGUGCGACUUUUUCGUUACGUAUACCUCGAAACAAUUAUGACUUGAUUAUUACUAUCUAAAAGUGGGCAUUUCGCAUGAACAAGAUUCGUUCAUUGAGUUUGAUAGGGAAUGGGUGACCACUGCCUUCCCUUUUUAUCCACCGUGAAUAAUACAAGAAGAAAUCUAUACACACUCCAACAGGAUUGGUGUCUUUCUAAGGUUACUAGAAAUGGCACGCGCAUUGUCGGGAAAAAAUUAAAAUUUUUGUGAAAUACUUUUUUUAGUAAAAAGAUUAUAAUCAGUGGUUAUUAAAAAAAAAAAAAACUCGUCUGGUUACAUAUCGUGCAAUUUUCUUAUAUUAUAAGUCAAUACCCCACGCUAAACUUUUAAUUGUAUAUAAUACAAAAUAAGAAUUUAACUUCUCGAGAGGCUUUGCGUCCUUCCAUGUUACAACCAAUCAGGAAUUUUUUUUGAAACUGAAAGAUCGACCUAAACUCCACCAAAGCAUGACAACAAUCACGAGACUUCAGAAAUAAAAACGCCAAUUCCAAAUCAAACGAACUCUCAUGAUUAUCAUCUAUUAAAAGCAGCAACUGAAUAGAAAUAAUCUGAACGCUGUGACUUAUCUUGGAAAGGGUUCGAGUCUAUUUCCUUGCUUUCCAUUAAUAUCAAUCGGAAGAGUUCUUUCAAAAGCCCGAAGAAAAAGUGAAGCCAAAGAUUUUUUGCCCCUUCACCAUCAGGAAAUCACAGUUUGAACAAGCCAAUGGGUCAAGAAUUUUGAGAAUUCUUCUAAAAAUCUGAAUUUUUAUAUCACUGAAAUAAUCAAAAGUGAAUCCGAUUCCACGAAUCAAAUUACUUGAAAUGGAAAUCCGGAUAGGAAUCAUUAUCAAUGGACUUGUGGCAACUCAAAGGCCAGAGCAAGAUGAUAAGACUCACGAAUCGAUGUGAAUAACUAGUGGUUCAAGAAUACAAACCCUCAAAUUGGCCAUUUUCCACAAAUUUGCUUGACAUGUUAAUUUCAAUGAAGACUUGGAAAAGUAAGUCACACAUGCCUAUCCUAAGAGCAAAGUACACACCAAACUGAUUGAAAAAGGAAAAGAUACAAUGUUUUAAUGAAAAACUGCUUUAAAGUACUAAUUUUGAAAUCUACCAUUGAUUUUGGUCCUCUCGCCUAGAACUAAUAUAUAUGGGAUGAUCGUUUUCAUCUCACUCUUUCUCAUAUUUUACUGUCUUGAUUUUUCCACGAAUUAAUUUUCAAGGAACUUGUCUUAAUAGUAUGAUACGAUAACGUGUAGUCUGACAUGGGAUUAUAUAUCCUUUUUUCACAUAUCAAUAGGAUAUCAGCAAAGCGAUAAAUUGUUUAGGCACAAACAAACAUAAGGGUGGUGAGUUUGUGAUCUAAGGAAAUUUCAAAAAAUUUCGAGUGAAGAGCAUGCACUAGUGCUGUAGAGAGAAACUUGCAUAUACAAAAAAGUUAUCUUCCAUCGAUGAAAGGCGUUUAAGAUAUAGAAGAAUUGCAAAGCAUAUUUAUAGUACUUCGGCCUAUCCAUUUGGCUCACUCUACUCUUCCAGCUCUAACAGUCCAAACAAAUACUGGAACCCACUAUAUCAUCCUUGAGAUGUUACUACAUCCGAAGAUAAUUCCUUCCUUCUACUUGUAACUUUGCUUUUACAUAUAAUUUGUAAAACUUAGUGACGAAGUUUCUCUACAUAUCUUGUCACCAAUUCGUGUGCCUACUUUUACUCUCGGAUUUUUAAAGAUUAUACUGCGUUAUGUUCAAUAUUAUAACAUGAGGAUUAGGUUUUUGGUAGUGUGGCAUAGGAGCUCAACAACAAUGAAUUUGCGUGAUGGUUAUUGAUUGAUGACCGGUGUGGUUCUUGUCUUUUGAGCGACCAAAAGCAAGUUGGAAUUUUGGAAACGCAGGUCGAGAGCACCUAAUAUCUAGGAAUGUAAUCCCUUCCAUCCCUUGGAUGGUUGUAACCGAUCAUAGCAGGAUUUACUCGUAUUGAUCCAUCAAUCGCACAUGGCCAUGACCAUCCAAUCCGUAUAUCGACCAUAUGGGGAUAGAUCCAAACAUAUAAUAUCAAGUAACAAUGAAAGUGUGCUCCCUGACGAGAAAUUACUUGAUGCAUGAACAAAUGUGAUCUUCUCUAUGUUAUGACAUUCAUCAUGGUGAUUUAAUCCAGCAGUCACUAGAUAAACUACUAUAUAAGAAAGAUUAUGUUAAGUAACUGGUUAGUGCAUAUAAAUAACCCACAUGGGACCCAAUUGAAUUUCCUAAUUUUUGACUGAAACGAAUUCAAUGCGUACAAAAAUAAGGUUGAACUGCCGCCUUUGUAAGGGAGAGAAGGUACUAUAAUCUCGAAAUGAGAGAAGAGGCAUGUUAAAAUGAGUGGCCCUAGACGUGCAUCAUCAUCCUCCAAUAAUAUCAACUAUCACUCUCAUAGACUCGCUUUGACUUAAGACCAGAGCAAAUCAAUAACUUGUGGUUUGAGUAUACCGACACUUAAUUUAUCAACUUUUCACGGAUUUACUCGACUAACUAGGUCAAUAUUAAUGAAGGCUUGGAAAAGUAAGUCGAGCAUGAAUAUUAAAAAUGAUCAAGAUCCCAUAAAAUGUCCUCUCAAUCUGAAGAGCAAGAUAACUACUGUGAUUGAGAUUCAUCAUUUUGUACUGUUUACUCAUUAUUCCUGUACUUCUGAAUAUGUGCUAUUUUUUUUUUUUAACGUAAAGAUUUAUCACGCAAUAUUGUCAACGCGAAGAAAAAAUAUUUCUUCACAACAAGGACGAAUUUUCCCCUUCGUUCGAUGGCACUUGAAGCCCCUUGAUGGAGUAACUUUUUGCAAGCAACACCGAUGACAGAUUCACUAGAGAAAAUCUGAUUGCGCCCCCACAUAAAAAGAGAAGUGAAAAUAAAAUGGAUCAUGCUAAUAAGUGUCCUUGAUAUCCUUGUUAAACAUGUUUAAUGUAGAAAGAUUCGAUUUUCAAAAUAUUAAUUGUGUAUGUCGCAAAAAUAGUCAAUGCAGUAUUUUGUUAUUUUGUUACUUAAUAAGUGUCCCAUAGUCACUAUUUAAGUAAAAUCCAAGUAAAAUUUAUUCUUGUGCAAGCAGAGCAUCAACCUAGCAUGAGAGUGGGUAAAACUUACGCAAAAUUGAGCCAUAUAGCACACUUACGUAUAAAACUCUAUGUACUUUGUUUUUUAUUAUUACUUUAGCAAAUCUUUAAUCCUAAUAUAUCUCUAACUCUCCAUCUCUAGUCUUAUGCAAAUUUUGAUAAUAAGAUCUAUUGCUGGUAUACUUUCAUAUAUUCUUACCCAUAAUUCUCUAAUAGAACUAUGCAUAUUUUCAGUAAUAAAUGCUCUAAUAUUUUUUUUUUUAUGUAUAUAUAGAUGCUAUCCCGAAAUAUCUGCAAUUUUUAUCUUUAAAGAAACUUGUUCAAGACGAGGUUUUGAACAAAAAAAUUAACAGUAUAGGGAUACCUAUCUCAUAAUUGGCUCAUAAUUAACAAAUAAUAUAUUAAAAGAUUAAAAGAUCAAACUCAUAUAAGGGUCAUAUUUGUCAAUUAAAGAAUAUUAAAAUCAUAUUUGAGAAGUAAUUAUAUUGCAUGAUCAAUCUCAAAUUGGUCUCAUAUUUGACAAAUAAAUAUAUUAGAAGAUCAAUGAAAUAAUCCAUCAUCACAGGACUAUUUAUCUCAUCGUUUACUUACAUUUUAGAGUAAUCUAUUGGAAAGAUCAAUCUCCUAUUGGCUUCAUAUAUGACAAACGAAUAAUAUUAAAAUCAUGUUUAGAGUAAUAUUACAUGAUCAAUAACAUAUUGAACUAAUUUUUGGCAAAUAAAAAAUAUUAUCUUUACAUAUUGUAUUUAUAUUUACGCACUUCGGCCUCCAGCAUCUUUCGUUUCUUGGUCAAUCUAGAUUCAUGUAUUUUAAGUCCCAUUGCUCGCAUGAUUUUCUUGCCAUCAACUCCAAGAACCUCGAAAUUGAGCGAGCGGCUCAUUCUAGAUUUCAUUUGCAGAACCAAGAUCAACCCCGUGCCUUGACUUGGUCGUCAACCGUCUGCGAAGAAUCAAAGUGGAUGAGUCCAAAGUCGAUUAAUGUUCCAUUUGUAUGUGAACGUGAAGGUUACGGGUCCUAGUCUGUGGAUGUGUUUAGUGUAGACUAUUCAAACUCUUGCGGAGAUAAUGCCGGUCUUCUGAGCAAAAUGCGUUAAAAGGGACAGUAUUGCUCACAUCAUGAUAACCUCUAUGCGAAAUGCUAACAUGAAAAGAUAAGAGACAAGAUAACGAGACUCAUUAGCUUCUUGGUCCCCGCCAUCAUAACAUCCUUCCCACGAAUAGUUUGUCAGCUAGUAAUAAUUCACAGCACAAGUCUUUUCUCAAUAGCAUCAUCAUUUUCUAUACUCCAACGAUUUAAUGGUGACGCAAAUUGACAAUAAAACGAGACGAGAUAAUUUCUGAAUUACACAGAGAAAGACUUAUAAUGUCUUAUGCUAAUAGAAAUUGACAUGAACUAUAAACACUAUCACGAAUUGUCUAGCUUUGAUGAAAUUUUAAAUUAAAGAUUUUGCCAAUAUAAUUUUUAGAAAGGAUAUUCAUGAGGGAAAUAAAACUUUACAUAUGAAAUGGUGGAUCGCACAACCCGUUAAAGCGGGUUGCGUUAUAAAAAGCAUAGAGGCUAUGUAGCAUGAACUUCAUAUGAACAUUACAAUUGUAGGUAGAUUAAAUUUAAGGGGCUAAUUAAGGGAUUUUGAUUGGCGUUGAGUAUACUAAUGAAACAUCUUUUGUUUUUUCAUUUGGUUUGUCCAUGAAGGGAAUCAACAUAGUUGCUGGAAAUAAGAAACUCAAAGUUUCUAUUUUUUCUUUUCCUUAAUCAUGGUUUUUUUUUUUGCAUCACAAGGCCAAAAAUCAGGGAGUCCCACGCUUUCUUAAUCUCUUUUUGAAAUGGUCUGAACUCAAUUUCCUAAUUUCUCAAAUUAAAACCCUAUUCCCCCAAAUUUAGGUGGAGAAUCUCGAGCAUCGAUGAUGGUAGGAUUGUAGGGAGAGACCGCGGUGCUGAUGGAGAACACGGAGAGAGAGAGAGAGAGAGAGAGAGAGAGAGAGAGAGAGAGAGAGAGAGAGAGAGAGAGAGAGAGAGAGAGUAUCGGAAUUUCAAGAGAAUUAGGGGGGAUGAUUAGAGCACAGUCUGCAUUUGGAGAGGCCAAGGCAGGAUAGAGAGAGGGCAAAGUCUGGACUCAACGACGAUGUCUUUUUUUUUUUUUUCCCCUUGUCCUAGGAUGACUAGAGAUUUGAGUCCCAUUGUUCGGUACUAUUUACUUAUUAUACCCCAAUGGCACACGCUAAACUCUUCGGAAAAGCAAAAGAUAUUAUUUUGCAAUAUAUCGUCAAUCACAAAAAACAAAAGAAAAAAAGAUUGUUCACAAAAGGCCUCCAUUCGUGGGAAAACGUUGUCCAACUUUAAGGCAUUGGCCUCGAUUGAGGAGCUUAAAGAAUGACAUUCCAUCUAUAAAUAUGUCAUCCAUCUUGCUAAUGAUAUGUAGACUUGAACCGUCUUUGAACUCCCAAAAACCAUCCAUACCCCCCAAAAUCAUGGUUUCUUCAUUAUUGAUGUCCACCCUAUCUCCUUUAUAUGUCUUCUUCUUCUCCUUGCUCUUCUUGGUCGGCACCACUUCACUUCUGGGGGAAAGCGUUUCCGCUUCCUCCACUUCUUUGUCCACUAUCCACAUGACCGGGAAUAAGGAUGAAGUAGAGGCUCUCUUGAAUUGGAAAUCUACUUUUGACAACCAUAGCCAAUCUCUCCUCUCUUCAUGGCAUGGCGACGAUCCUUGCCGCUUUACCGGUGUCACUUGCAACUACUAUGGAGCCAUCAUCCAUCUAAAUCUUUCCUAUGUUGGUUUGAGAGGAACUCUAGAUGGCCUUGACUUCUUGUGCUUAACUAGUGUGGUUAGCUUUGAACUCGCCAACAACUCGAUCUAUGGCUCCAUUCCCUCAAGUGUUGGUAACCUUUCCAAACUCAACUCUCUUGAUCUUCGCUUCAAUGAACUGUCCGGGCAAAUUCCUCCAAGUAUAGGUGUGUUGGAGAGUCUUCAUUAUUUGUACCUUUGUGCCAACAACUUGAGUGGACGUAUUCCUACCUCUCUUGGAAAAUCAGGCAAUUUAGUCGAACUAAGAAUUUCGCAAAAUAAUUUCUCUGGUUCCAUUCCACAAGAAAUAUGCAACUCGAGGAGCUUGACGAUUCUUUCCCUAUGGGGAAAUAGAUUGUUAGGAUCCAUUCCUUUAGAAAUCAUGAGACUCACUUCUCUCCAUACACUUGACCUGUCAUCCAAUAAUCUCACUGGCUCAAUUCCUCAUUCCAUCAAAAACUUGUCAAAUUUAAGCAUAUUUGACAUUUCACAGAAUGCCAUUUCUGGUUCCAUUCCACAAGAAAUAUGCAACUUGAGGAGCUUGACGGUUCUUUUCCUAUGGGGAAAUAGAUUGUCAGGAUCCAUUCCUUCAGAAAUCUCGAGACUCACUUCUCUCCAUAAACUUGACCUGUCAUCCAACAAUCUCACCGGCUCAAUUCCCCAUUCCAUCGGAAACUUGUCAAAUUUAUCUUUGCUUAACCUCUUCGAAAAUAAUUUGGUCGGUCCAAUCCCUACUUCUCUUGGAAAAGUGGGCAACUUAAGCAUAUUUUCCAUUUCACAGAAUGCCAUUUCUGGUUCCAUUCCACAAGAAAUAUGCAACUUGAGGAGCUUGACGGUUCUUUCCCUAUGGGGAAAUAGAUUGUCAGGAUCCAUUCCUUCAGAAAUCGCGAGACUCACUUCUCUCCAUGAACUUCACCUGUCAUCCAACAAUCUCACUGGCUCAAUUCCUCAUUCCAUCGGAAACUUGUCAAAUUUAUCUAUGCUUAACCUCUUCGAAAAUAAUUUGGUCGGUCCAAUCCCUACUUCUCUUGGAAAAGUGGGCAACUUAAGCAUAUUUUCCAUUUCACAGAAUGCCAUUUCUGGUUCCAUUCCACAAGAAAUAUGCAACUUGAGGAGCUUGAGGGUUCUUUUCCUAUGGGGAAAUAGAUUGUCAGGAUCCAUUCCUUCAGAAAUCGCGAGACUCACUUCUCUCCAUAAACUUGACCUGUCAUCCAACAAUCUCACUGGCUCAAUUCCCCAUUCCAUCGGAAACUUGUCAAAUUUGUCUUUGCUUAACCUCUUCAAAAAUAAUUUGGUCGGUCCAAUCCCUACUUCUCUUGGAAAAGUGGGCAACUUAAGCAUAUUUGACAUUUCACGGAAUGCCAUUUCUGGUUCCAUUCCACAAGAAAUAUGUAACUUGAGGAGCUUAACAGUUCUUUCGCUAUGGGAAAAUAGAUUGUCAGGAUCCAUUCCUUCGGAAAUCGGAAGGCUCGCUUCUCUCAAUGAACUUUACCUGUCAUCCAACAAUCUCACGGGCUCAAUUCCUCAUACCAUAGGAAACUUGUCAAGUUUGUCUUCUCUUGGCCUUUCCCAAAAUAAUUUGGCUGGUCCAAUCCCUGCAUCACUUGGAAGCUUGGCCAAUUUGACUAUAUUAGUGAUUCGGGACAACAUGUUCUCUGGGUCCUUGCCUUCUGAAUUUAAUAGGUUAACCCGUUUCACUCACUUGGCUAUGAGUGACAAUGAACUAGAGGGGGAACUGCCAAAAGAUGUGUGCCUUGGGAGAUCAUUAGUAUAUUUCUCUGCCUUCAAAAAUCAUUUCACAGGGCCCAUCCCAACAAGCUUAGAGAGUUGUAGUACAUUAAUUAGAUUGAGGCUAGAAGAAAACCAACUUACUGGAAGCAUAACAGAAGCUUUCGGAAUAUAUCCACAACUAUAUUAUGUGGACUUAAGCCACAAUCAUUUGAACGGUGAACUUUCUUGGAAAUGGGAGCGAUGUCCUAAUUUGACGAGCUUAAGGAUAUCAAACAACAAAAUUUAUGGUGAGAUACCUGCAAUAUUUGGAAGGAUGGCUCAGUUAGGGGCACUAAAUCUUUCUUCAAAUUUUUUAAGUGGGGAGAUUCCAAGGGAAUUGGGAAGUCUAUUGAUGUUGUUCGAACUCGAUCUAAGCGGCAAUGUUAUCACAGGAAAUAUCCCAACUGAGAUUGGACUUUUAUCUCAUUUAGCACAUCUGAACUUGGCAUCAAACAAUUUGAGCGGAUUGAUGCCAGUGCAGCUAGGCUCAUGCAAAAGCUUGUUGACCUUGAACAUGAGCAAAAACAAAUUUCAGACAAGUAUUCCUCCAGAGAUAGGCAAUGCACAAUUCCUUGAGGUUCUUGACAUAAGUCAUAAUUUGUUGACUGGAAACAUACCGGGAGCACUUGGACGGUUGAGAAUGCUACAAGUUCUAAAUAUCUCCCACAACAACCUUUCUGGUUCUAUUCCACGUACUUUUAGUGAUAUGUCAGCCUUAACUUCCAUCGAUUUAUCCUACAAUAACCUGGAAGGUCCUCUCCCAAAUGUCAAAGCUUUCAAUGAGGCUCCAUUUGAGGCAAUACAGCAUAACAAAGGGCUUUGUGGAAAUGUUAGCGGUCUACUGAAAUGCAAUUCUAUCGAGAGCAAGAAACGCAAUCCCUAUGUUAGAGUUACAAUCGCAAUUAUCAUCUUUUUCUUGUCGUUGGGAAUUAUCCUUCUCUCUUGCACCUUGGUCGUUCUUAUAAUCAUCAAUCGUCAUCGAAGAAGAAUUAUCAGGAGAGAGAACAACGAACGGGCAAAUGAUUUGGAUUUCAUGCAUAUUUUGAGUUAUGAUGGCAAAGUUUUCUAUGAUCGAAUCUCUGAGGCCACAGAAGGAUUUGACUCGAAGUAUUAUGUCGGCGAAGGAGCAUAUGGAAUUGUUUAUAAAGCCAAUAUAUCGGAAGGUCAAACGUUUGCUAUAAAGCAAACCUCAUCAUCCCAGGACGAUAGUGAGAUUGUUGAUUUGAUACCAUUUGAAAGGGAAAUUCAAGCUUUAAAAAAUCUACGCCAUCGUAAUAUCGUGAAAUUUUAUGGCUUCUGCUCUCAUGUCCAACGCUAUUUUUUGGUGUAUGAGUACAUGGAAAGGGGAAGCUUGAGAACGGUUUUGAACGAUAAUGAAAGAGCGGUAGAAUUUCAUUGGGACAAGAGGGUAAAUGUGGUCCGAGGAGUUGCGGAUGCUCUGUCCUAUAUGCAUCACGAAUGUUCACCUCCGUUGAUUCAUCGAGACUUGACCAGUAACAACGUUCUAUUGGAUCGCAAUUAUGAGGCUCGUGUUUCUGAUUUUGGCACUGCAAGACUAUGAGCCGGAUUCAUCAAAUUGGACUAUGUUGCUGGCACCAUAGGGUAUAUUGCACCAGGUACUUUGUAAUUUUUCAAUUUCGCCGGCAUUCAGUGUCAAACAUCUCUUAUUUUGUUUUUAAUCUUCUUAUGCAAAUUUGUUUACGCAUUUAGAGCAUUCAAGUACAAUAUAUAUAUUGUCGGUCCUACUUUAUUUCUACUCUAACUCUCACUCUUAGACUUUUGCCCUGCCUCCUUACAAGGCGUGGGAGUCGAAACCCACACUUGAAACUAAAUCGUCCCCACCCAACCCCCCCUGAGAAGGUGGAGAUUCGAAUCCCUCACCUCCCCCUUCUAUGUUGAAAGGGUGGCCCCAUGCAAGUUUAAUGUUCAGAAAGCCUUCUAACCUUCCUAAUAAGGAAGAAUUGGCAAAAGAGGUAAAAAUUAUAAUCGAUCCAUCUCAAGGAUAUGAAAUUUGUGUUACCUAAAUGAUGCAAGCAUCAAACAAAAUCCUUUGAACGCCCCUAAAGCGUAAACUCCCAUCCUCAAAUUAGUGUUGAAAGCAUAGAUUAAGUAGAAAUUUGUACUUGUAAUUGUUACCCCGUGGGAAGCAAUGUUGUCAAUUUGAAAACAACUUAUGAUCAAGGUUAUAAAACCGUGAAUUCUCCACUUGCAGAGCUGGCUUAUUCUUUGAUUCCUACCGAAAAGUGCGAUGUAUAUAGCUUUGGAGUCGUUGCAUUAGAGACAAUCAUGGGAAAGCAUCCAGGAGAUCAUGUCUUUCGGGAAUGUUCAUCAUCCACCCAAACUCAAUCGCCGAUACUGUUGAAGGAUGUGUUGGAUCAACGUCUCUCGCCUUCUGAACUUUGUCUUCGAGAUGCGCAAGACAUAGUCUCAAUCGCCAAGCUAGCAUUCAUGUGCUUGCAAGCUGAUCCGCGGCUUCGACCAACUAUGGGACAAGUCUCGCGUGAGCUUCGCGUUCAAGUACCCCUAGAAACACCGCUCUCUACUAUCACCUUAGAGCAACUUCGCAAUCUCAAUGUUAGGAAAUUUGGAGCAUUCAUGGGAUUUGGUAAGUUUUGAAGUUACUUUUUCAUGUGCUAUUUUGUUUGAUUUUUAAUCAUAAUGAUGAUCGGCUUUUAAAUACUUUCUUAGUUCUCACUAAUCCUAAUUGUGUGAUUUACGAUGUUCACUGCAGAGCUAGCUUCAACGUUACAUGAAUAGUGCAAUGUUUAAGUUUGGAACCGUGGCUCCAAAAAUAAUUAGGGACGGCUUUCGGGGAGAUCUAAUUUCAUGAUUAUUUCCAACUUUUUGCAGAGCGAUCAGCAAAUGAACUUGCAAAAUUCAUUAAAUUGACAUCUCUUGCCUUCUUUCAAUCGAGAUGUAAACAAUAUGUAGUUUCUAUUACUAGAAGAGACAAUGAUACCAGUAGCCUGUGCACUUUUUUGAUAUAUAGUGUCAUAAUUGAACUUUCAAUUGGUUUCAUCUUACUUUUUAUUGAUGUGCACUAUUGUUCUAAAACAUUCAAUUGGUCCAAUGAGAUCCUAAUAUAUUUUGAUAUGUUUAUUUUCAUUCUUUUAGUGAUUAAUUUAAAUGAAAUUUGGCAUGAACAUCUAUAUAAAAAAGCUAAUGUUUGAUGGAGAAAAUAACAUGGAUUUCGCACUUCUCACUUUGACUUGAAAUUUCGAAACUCUAAACAAUUGGCUUAAGACUAAUUGUGCAAUUUGUCCAUUCACCCUUUUCCGCUAUUUGACAUUAUUAAAGUCGAUACUUUUAAAACUUUGAAGAUGAGCAAUAAAGAUGAGAACAAAAAGUUAUUUUUCUUCCCCUUGUGUACGUUUUCAAAAAACGUUAAUUAAUUUAAAGAAAUUCCUUUUUGGCCAAAUAAUUUGAAGAACUUAUUUAAAAUGCCCUUUCUACAUAUACAAUCCCACCACAAAUUAAUUUAUCUGCAAUUACUUUGGGGAUUAACGAUUUCAAGAUCAUUAUGUUCGCGUCACAUGAGAAGAGGAUAGCUAACGUUUUUUUAGUACUUCGCAUAAUAGCUCAGCAAAAUUAAUCCCCCUGAAUAUCAUUGCUCAUUGCUGACUAUUGGCUCUUGCUAAGGGGAUUUGAUCUUUUUUUCUUCAUAAUUAGCACAAUGUGCUUAUAACCCAUAUAUCAAUAAAUAGUAAGGACCGGACCGAUGAAUCUUGCUGCAUCGGCCUUUAAAGUUACCAUCUUGACAAACAAAUUAUUUUGCCAGGAUGUUAUAUAUACUGAGGAAAUUAUUAUGACAACUAGCAAGUACAAAAACGAAAUCAUGACAUAGUACAACACACUCAGACUUAAACCAUUACAUCUCAUUAUAAAAUCAAACAACACCAUACAAUUUGCGCCCAUUGAAGUACAAAUACAUAAGAAUCAGACUUAGAUAAAUGCAAUCUCAUAAACAAAAUUACAGCCUAAUAAUUAAGAACACCAUACUAAGCAGACCGAUAAAAACACAUUUAUUUCAUCACUAGAAUACAAACAAACACACUGUUAUAACAUUUAGUACAGACAAAAAAAAAAACAAAUACAAAUCUCAAUUACCUGUUUCAAGAGGGGUGGCGGAACUCCCCCUGGGUUGACCAUUUCAGCGAAAUAUUUAUAUUGGUGCCUUUUCAUAUGGCCCGUCCCAUCAUUAGGUCCCAAAGAGAAUUUCACAGCACAUACCAUGCAGAUGACCUUCUCACCACUGCAAAGGUCCAUGAUGUGGAACAUCUUCCAUAAAUUCGAUCCGCAUAAAAAAAUAAAAAUAAAAACAGUUUUUUGGAGUUGGUAAGCCAUCUAAGAAAUGGGUUAAGUAUUGUUGACACAUAAAUUUGACAAUUUUAUAAGGGGCUUUAUCACGUACAAAAUUAGGAUUAAUUUUUAAUCCCUAAACAAAAAUAAUAUCCAUUAAAAUUGCAUUGCAUAUAGACACUUAGGAGUGUUUGCAUCACUAGUAUUAAAAAUUUUAAAAAAUUACUAUUAUCAUUAUAAUCUUUUUAAAAAAAUAAAUUUUUUUAUUUAUUUUUAAAAGAAAAAAAGAAGAAGUAGCGAAACCAGGCCAGGGGCAGGCUGGCCCGGCCUUCUUUCUUUUCCUUCUUCCUCCUCAUUCUCAUUUAGGCCAAGUCCAUUUUUUCUUUCUUUCCCGCCAAGCCUGGCCUUCUCCUCUCUCUGGUUCCUUUCCUUUUGUCCUGAACAUUGGCUGGAGUGAGGGAGGAGAGAGAGGACGGCAAGGGAAAGGAGACCAGAAGAUGUUAUUUAUUUUUGUGAUCCUAUAUUUUCGGACCCACAUUUUCUCUUAAAGUGGCGGUUAUCCGACAUGAAGUUUUUCCACGUUUCGUACCUUUUCGUGACAACCACCCAUUUGGUAACCAUCUUGAUGGGAGACGGUGUAUAAAAGGAACGUACGUUCAUUUCUGACGGGCAACUACAAGGUCUAACACAAAUCCUCACAUUUAGAAUACAUCAUCAAUACGUGAGGGAAUUGGGUUAGUAGUGUAUGCCCAAUAUUUUUUUGAUUUUUCAGGAUUUGCCGACAAAUGUAAAUACCAACAAUGGCUGGAGGUUUGUUUAUAAUCGAUCUUGGCUUCCGCAUUUAUUUUUAUGUCUUACAUUUGGUAUCAUAGCGUAUUUAGUGCAUCUGCCUUGUUUUUUGUCGAGUUUUUGGUGUGUUUUUCGGGCAUUUUAGAGAUGAACAAUAUUUAGAGUUUUGAGGCCAAGUGAGAAACUCACCGAUUCUGGGCAAAAUCCGGUGACCCACCGCUCGAAUUCGGACCCGUACGGUUGCACCGCCAUGAGGAACAUUAGCCAUGAGUUGUUUUGGCAUAUUAGUGUUUGCCGGAGGCUAAUCGGGCGGUGGAAGUUGUGGUGGUUGACGAUUUGUGUUUUGGGAAAUUUUCGUUUGAUUUGGGACCAAUUUCUUGCUUAUUUUCGUCGAAACUUGGACCCAUGUGGUCGUGCCGGCAUGCUCUCCAAAACCCAUUAUUUAGUUGUGUCAAAGAUGGGUUGCCGGAGAAGAAACAACCGGCAAAAUCACGGCGGAACGGCGAAAAAUAGAGAAGAAAUUCGUUCUGGGUGCAAGGAAGAAGGCGCGUGGGCCUCAUGUGCGUGCUGCAGUUGUAGAUGCGUGAAACCCACGCGCGCCAACUGCUGGAGCAUGGGGCCCACGCGCGCGGAACUUCCUGUGGCAGUUGCCAGGCAUGUGCAUUGAGUGUUGGACACGCUAGACGCGUGCGUGUAGGGCACGCGCCCGCGACGGAUGUAGGCGUGUUCUCGGCACGCACCUAUCGUACCGCAACGUUGUUUUUACUCUUUUGCCCCUAUGUCAUUUUUAAAUUCCCAUUUUGCACUUCAUGGAAUUUUACAAUCCUGUCCUUGGCCAAUUUAUUUACUGAUCUGCCCCCUUGGUCCAUUUAUUUAUUAUUUUGUCCUUUCAUGCAUUUUAUAAAUAUUUUGUGCAUGAAAUUAAAUGUCCAAUUAUCCAUAUAUUUAAUUAAUUAGAGAGUAGUCACAGCAUCUUUAAUUAAUUAAAUUAUAUAUUAAGAGCCUCAAGAUCAUAUUUAGAAAUGGACAUUGAUUGUAAUUAAUUAUAUUAAUAUGAUGAAAUUUAUCCACAAGAAUUUUCAUUGUAUUAAUAUGAUUAAUUAUGAUGAAAUAUCAUAUUGUUUUUCUUAAUUUACCCACAGGGAUUAAGAAAAGGUAUAUAAUAUGGUAGUUUCUUCAUGAUGUAAUUAUGAAUCUAUUUAAAUUAAAAACUUAGCCCACAUGCAAUUUUUAUGUUAUGUGAUUCAUAUUCGUGACAUGUUUACAUUGGUAAAACACAAUUUAUGUAUUUUUUGCCUCAAAUUUUGUGACAUAAGCAUGAUUAUUUGAUAUGCAGUUUUGCAACCUGUGAAUUUUUCUGACUUUAAGUGUGAUGUUCCCAUACUAAAUGGUGAGAACUAUAAAGUUUGGAAGGAGUUAGUUCUUUUUCAAUUGGAGUGGAUUGAUAUUGACUAUGCUAUAGAAAAGAUGAAUCAUCUGCUCCUACUAAUUCGAGCACUGCAACUGAGAUAACCCUUUAUAAUCAAUGGGAGCGGUCCAAUCGUGUUUGUUCUAUGUUUAUAAGGGCUAAAGUAUCUCAUAGUAUUCAUGGUUCGGUUGUUUAGCAUAGCAAUGUUAAGACUUUAUUGGAGGCUAUUGAUGUGCAAUUUGAGACUUCUGAGAAGGCGCAUGCCAUGACCCUGAUUAUGAAGUUUUCAUUGUUAAAGCUCACUAGUGUUAAAGGUGUGCAUGAGCACAUCAUGCAAAUGAGGGACAUUGCGGCUCAGCUUAAGAACCUUGAAGUUGAGAUAUCUGAAUCUUUUCUUGUGUAUUAUAUUUUGAACACUCUCCUACAACAAUAUGCACCUUUUAAGAUCUCUUAUAACACACAUAAGAAUAAAUGAUCAAUUAAUAAACUCAUGACCAUGUGUGUUCAAGAGAAGGAAAGACUGAUUAUGGAAUUGGGAGAAAGUGCUCAUUUGGCAACAUAAUGAAAGAAUAAGGGUCAUGGCAAGCAUAAGGGAAAAGGUAAAAUAUCUCCCCAAACUGACAUUAAGAAAGAAUCAAAAUAUUUCUUCUGUAAAAGGAAAUGGGCAUACAAAGAAGGAUUGCAUCACUUUUAAGGCCUGGCUUGAGAAGAAAGAUAAUCCAACCUCCUGUGUUUGUCAUGAAUCUAAUAUGGCCGAUGUAAGUCACAACACUUGGUGGAUUGAUUCUGGAUCUACAAUCCACAUUUCAAAUUCCUUAUAGGGUUUUCAAAACCACAAGAAGCCAAUGGGAAGUGAACAAAGCAUCUAUUUAGGAAACAAAAUGCAUUUGCAUGCGGAAGCUAUUGGGACAUGUAGACUAGUUCUUAAUAUUGGAUUUGUUUUGAAUUUGGAAAUGACCUUUUAUGUUCCUAGUUUCUCUAGAAAUUUAAUUUCGGUUUCAAGACUUGUACCUUUGGGUUACUCUUUUAACUUUUCAGGUUUAACCUUCUGUUUAUCGUUUAAAUCUGAAAUUGUUGGGAGUGGUACUUUGUCUGAUGGUCUUUUUCAAAUUAAUUUACAAGACAAUGCCUAUUAUAAUGUGAUGCAUAUUCAUGAUAACGCUGGUAUGAAAUAUUGUGUUAUGAAAGAACAUUCCUCUAUGUUGUGGCACCGGAGAUUAGGACAUAUCUCCAUAGAAAGAAUUAAGCGCUUGGUAAAUGAUGGAGUACUCAGUACUUUAGAUUUUACUGAUUGUGAUACUUGUGUGGACUGCAUAAAGGGAAAGCAAACUAACAAGACAAAGAAAUGUGCCAAGAGGAGUACAAAAAUAUUAGAAAUAAUACAUACGGAUAUUUGUAGUCCAUAUAUGGACUCGUGUGGUUAGAAAAACUUCAUCUCUUUCAUAGAUGAUUACUCACGUUAUAUGUAUCUCUUCUUGCUUCAUAAUAAGCAUGAAGUAUUAGAUGCCUUUAAGGUAUUUAAGGCGGAAGUAGAGAAAUAAUAUGGUAAACAAAUUAAGAUUGUGAGAUCAGAUAGAGGUGGAGAAUUCUAUGGUAGAUACAUUUAAGAUGGACAAGCACUUGGUCCAUUUGCAAAGUUUCUUCAAGAGCAUGGGAUAGUUGCCAAAUACACUAUGCCUGGUUCUCCGGAUCAAAAUGGUGUAGCGGAAAGAAGAAACCGAACUUUAUUGGAUAUGGUGUGGAGUAUGCUUAGCGACUCCAAACUUCCUAAGUCAUUGUGGACUAAAGCACUUAAGACGGCAGUGUACAUAUUAAACCGGGUUCUGACAAAAGCUAUCUCAAAGAAACCUUUUGAGUUAUUUAAAGGUUGGAAAUUGAGUUUGCAACAUGUACGCGUUUAGGGAUGCUCGUCGGAAGUGAGAGUUUACAAUCCACAAGAAAAGAAGUUGGACUCAAGGACCAUAAGUGGGUACUUAAUUAGAUAUGCCGAAAGGUCUAAGGGAUACGGGUUUUAUUGUCCAUCUCACACCACUAGGAUUGUGGAAUCAAGAAAUGCAAAAUUUCUUGAAAAUGACUUGAUUAGUGGGAGCGAUCGAUUAAGGGACCUUGUUCCUAAGAAAGAUAAUUUAGAUACUCAAACUUCCACCUCAAGUUUAAGGUUAGUUGUUGUUCAUAAUGCCCAUUCGGUUCAACUAGUUAUUGAACAACCAAUCGUUAAAGUUCCACAACCUGUUGAUAUUGAUCUGGUAAAUCCAGUUGUUCAGCAAUUACCAGAAACUGUUGAACAACCCGUUGAGCAACACGCUCCUCAAGAGAAUGUUGAUGCAACAUUGAGAAGAUAUACUAGAAUAAGGAAAUCAGUUAUUCCUAGUGAUUAUAUUGUGUAUUUAUAAGAAUCUGACUACAAUAUUGGAGCUGAGAAUGAUCCUGAAAUGUUUUCACAUGCUAUGAACAGUGAUAAAUCCAAUUUGUAGUAUAAUGCCAUGAAGGAAGAGGUGAGUUCUAUGGCAUCUAACGAAGUUUGGGAUUUGGUUGAGUUGCCUAAUGGUGCGAAGGCCAUUGGUUGUAAAUGGGUCUUCAAAAUUAAGAAAGAUUCAUUGGGUAACAUUGAAAGAUAUAAAGCUAGAGUCAUUGCCAAAGGAUUCACUCAAAAUGAAGGAAUCAAUUAAACGGAGACUUUUUCUCAUGUAUCUAAGAAAGAUUCUCUUCGUAUUGUUCUGGCAUUGGUUGCCCAUUUUGAUAUGGAAUUACAUCAGAUGGAUGUGAAAACGACAUUCCUCAAUGGAGAACUACAUGAGGAGGUUUACAUGAAACAACAUGAAGGAUUCCUUUCUAGUAAAGGUGAGCAUUUGGUGUGCAAGCUUAAGAAAUCUAUAUAUGGCUUGAAACAAGCAUCCCGCCAAUGAUACUUGAGGUUCCAUGAUGUUAUCUCCUCAUUUGGAUUUGUAGAGAAUGUCAUGGAUUAAUGUAUAUACUAGAAAGUUAGUGGGAGCAAAAUUUGUUUCCCUGUACUAUAUGUGGAUGAUAUUUUACUUGCAACAAAUGAUAAGGGGUUGCUACAUGAGGUGAAACAAUUUCUCUCUAAGAGUUUUGAUAUGAAGGAUAUGGGUGAGGCAUCUUAUGUCAUUGGCAUUAAGAUCAAUAGAGAUAGACCUCGAGGAAUUUUAGGAUUAUCUCAAGAAAUCUAUAUCAAUAAGGUACUAGAGAGAUUUCAGAUAAAAGAUUGUUCACCAAGUGAAGCACCCAUUAUGAAGGGUAAUAGGUUCAAUUUAAACCAACGCCCGAAGAAUGAUCUAGAAAAGGAACAAAUGAAUAACAUUCCAUAUGCUUCUGUUGUCGGAAGCUUGAUGUAUGCUCAGGUUUGCACUUGUUGACGCCUAAAUUUUGAUUAGGUUUUUUAAAUUAGGCCUUAGUCUCUUUUAAUCCUUGUUUUUCCUUUUUUUUUCGGAUAAUAAAUAAUAAAUAAUAAAAACAACCAAAAAAAUAGUAAAAACAAAAGAAAACAAAAAAUUGGUAGCCCAUCGGGGCUGGGCGUGAAGGCCCAGCCCCCCACCUUUUUCUCUCCCCCGCGUGGGCCCAAGCCCAGCCCUUUUUUUUCCCCAAAUUCGGUCAGGCCUCUUUCUUCCUUCUUCUUCCUUCUUCUUCUCGCUCUUUCUUUCUCUGCCUCUAUAGGCCACGCACAAUGACGACGAUGCGCUCGAAGACAACCUAUGGCUGAGGAGGGGUGGCCGACAUCGGCCGAAAGAGACAUAUCUCAGGUGCCAUUAUUGGCUGCCUUCAAUGUCGAGCACGCCUUGUUGGAGGAGCUCGGAUGGGACAUCGGUUCAGCCGAGGGGGACUGGUCGACAAGCCAAAGACCGGCGGCCGAGGUUCUCCAUCAAUCGGACCCCCUUGCUUAUAAAUAGUGAGGCACCACCUCCGUCGAUGGACACAACACACAAGCUAGCAAGCUCAGAGAUCCCCUGAGAGACUUCGGGGAGCUCAAAGAGCAAACAAGGCAGAAAUUGGGUUGCGAGCUCAAACCACCUCCCUCCAAGACUUUGGGGGAGGUUGGCCACGAGUGAACCCAAGGAGGGCAAGCACGGCCAAGAGAGGAUCCAAGGUAGCCAGCUCCGAUCACUUCCUCCAAGAGACAUCGGAGGAGGUCCGAGGGCUGGCCAACCCGGAUCCAGAUCUGGUUAGAGUAAGGGUUCCAAGCUAAAAUCUGAGUUUCAGAUCUAGAGAUCCGAGAGAAAGGCGAGUGAAAGAGAAGCUGAAGGCCCUAGCGGUGGAUCUGAGAAAGGCUAGACCGCCACCUCCCAUCGUCGGGUCUGCUGUAGCAAAGCUACCACCGCCAUCAAACUACCGCUGAGCCAUGCCUUUGUUUCCCCCCGACGUCAACACACCAAAUCUAGAAGCUGAGGAGGUGCCGUCGUUGCCUCGUCGCGACCGCCAAUCGACCUCCCCCCACAUAGCCGACCGUCAUGACGCUGUCCCCGCCGUGCUCCCUCCACAUCGAGCCCUGGUAAGAGGUCUCCGAGCUCCGCCCCGCUUCGAACGGUCUGUGCCGAAACUCGGAGCCGUCGAGCUUGUAUGAGUUCCGGCAUAGACCAUCCCUCUUGAUUCAAAGCACGCUAGGUCCACCCCGACGCCGAUCCCAUUGAACCACCAACUCCUACCUUCCGCCAUGUCACCGCCGUCGCCGCUCGGUGAUCCCCCCUAGCCCUCCUUCGACACCGGGGACACAGAGAGAGAGAGAGAGAGAGAGAGAGAGAGAGAGAGAGAGAGAGAGGAGGUCCCAUUCCGGGUCAAAAGUUAGGUCGGCAAAACCCUCCAACCGAGUAGGGUUUGGCUUCAAAGGGGGCCGGGUUCAGGUCAUUAUUUGGGCUGGGUCAUGGCAAGUCAAUCGGGCCGUUUGUGUGCGGGCCCGUAUCUCGGGCUUGUCUGGGUUGGCAAUUAGCCAUGCGGGCUGCGAACCAGAUUGGUCCCGACCCGAGAAUCCAACCCGGGUCGUUUUAUAAUUAAAAAAAUAUAGUAUUUCAAUAAAUAAAAAAUAAAUAAAAAUAAUUUUUUUUAUUUUCCAGAAAAUAAAAAAAUAAAAAAUCUCAUAUUUUCCAAAAAAACAAAAAAAAAAUCAGAAAAAGCGAAAAAAUGAUUUAUAUUUUCAGAAAAAAGAUUUAGAAAAAUAAAAAAAAUGUUUUUAUGUCCAAAAAAAUGAGAAAAUGACCCAAAAAGUAUUUUUCCUCCAUAAAUGCAUGGAAAAUCUCUCAAAAAUCCAAAAAGCCUUAGGGUUUAAACAUGAUUAGGUACUGAAAGGGCAUUAGGGAUUAACUAGUGUAAUCAAAUCCCCUAUCCUAAUUUCUCUGGUUGCACAGGAGCGAGUGUUUCUCCCGAUACUUCGCUUGGGUUUCUAAUCGACCUACUCCAAAUUAAUUAGUGGCGACUCAUUUUUAAAUUAACUCACAGGUUAAAAACUUGAAUCAUUAAAGUCGUGAAUUGGUGGACUUGGGAGAGUCCGGGCUACGCUUAACAAACCUAGCAGAAGCAUUAGCCUCCGCAGGUGCCCGCCCCGAUCGGGCGCAAAAAAAAAGAGGUCGCGACAGCUUGGCUACUCCACUGGAGACAAUUGAGAAUUUAGGCUAUUUUAUAUUGUUUAAGCACUUUACUAACUUGUUUUUUUAUUUUUUGUUUUUUUUUUAUGCAGGUCAGUAGCUUAGAGGUUUAUUUUAAUUUCAAUUAAAAUAAAAUGUUUUGUGAUUAUAAACUAUUGUGCAUGCUUUACUGUUUUAGCACUACACAUGGCACACACAACCCGGCCGUCGGACCUGGGCCACCAUAGGAUAUCUAGGAUGGUGUUCAAGAAGAUACGACCUCGAACGCAAGAUUGCGAUGUAGAGGUUGUCUUUUUAUUUCCCCGAAUUUCUUUAGCUGAGGUUAAGAGGGUAUGCUACCAACACGAGACUGCAACAUGUGGACACCUUGUUAAUUUUAACAAACCUUCUCAGUUAGAAAUCGAGCCACACGUCCCAUGCCCAUGUCUUUGUGCUUGCCAUUUUCUUUAAAAGCAAAGUAAUUUCUUUCCUUUUACUCAGUCUUUUUAUUGGCCCAUGGCAAUUUAGGGUAGGUUUUUCGAGUUCCAAUUUAUCCCGCUUCCAAGGCAAAGCUCUUCAGAUGGUGGGGUCAAUUGGACUAAUUUGCCCAAGAGCGCGUGAAAGUCAAAGUUGGUCAUCUUCUAUCGUUGAUCCAAAUCCCUAUUCAUCUCGAAGUCAUAUAGGCUAUGGCACAUUUCUAGUGCCCGAAGACGACUACUUUUAUGUUUGGUGGGUUCGAGCUAACCCAAACUCUAGAAGAAUACAUCAUCAUUACUGAAAUGCCUCUUGAGAAUAAGCUUGUUAGGCCAUCAACAUGCAUUAUCUCAUUGCGUGGGUUAGUGCAACUUUAAAGAACCAAAGUCCAUGUAUUGAGGCAAAUUCUUGAAAACAACCAUAAUACCUGCCUACUAGCAUUUUUUACGGCCUAUUUUGAAAAUCAACCUAUAACCCAGAAAAAGUGAGAUUUUCCUCCUAGACGUUUUCGGGUUCAUCAUUUUCCCCCAUCAAAGAAACGUUAUAAGUCCCAAGAUGGCAUGGAUAGUUGAUCAGAUUUCAAGGGGGCAAAAUUAUGUCAACAUGAUUUUAACCGAAACAUUCUUGUCCCUUAAUUGUUUUAAAGAAAACAUGGAAAAAGUCAUGCGGGUCUCCCCGGAAAUUUUACAGGUUCGGUUCUUUUCUCACCUAAGCGAAUUUCGAUACUUCAUGCGAUCAUCUGAAACAAAUAGUUUCAAAAAUCAAUUACAGAAAUUUAUGGUUCUAUGACCAUACAUUCCCAACCAAAACUAUAAAUUGGAUAAAUUUCCAAAGAGACCCAGCUCCUGAGGCAUUCCAAUGGUGUGCUGGUUGGUUCCAUGAAAAGAGAGCUCGCUUUGCUUACAAACGCUACUAUCCAAUUUCGUUCCUUGGCCUCACUGGCGCCAUUUCCUAUUUCUCAUAUUGGGUGACACGACAGUAUGGAACCCUUCAGGAGAUCCCACCGCCUUUCAAGAGAAAGGCCCCUCCAUUCCUUUUCAACACAAGUCGUGACUACGCAAUUGAAAUUUCUAUCAUUGAGGAAGCAUGGAACAAGCCAUCGCAAAAAGAUCGUGGUACCUGAAGGGCUUGAGGGAUAGGAAAAGGCCCAUCAUGCCUCUGAGUCCUACAUCUACAACUAUCAUAUCCCGACAAAAUUGAAGUCAUCAAUCCCUCAUCCAAUUAGCGAGAUCAGCCAACACGAGCAAGUAGAACUUAUGCAAAGGGAUUUUGGAAUAGGCUAGAUACAUGUCUUAGAGCCAGUCCAAGAAAGCAAGCAUCUGCAUGAGAACAAGGCUCCCCGUUGCAUAUAGAAUAACAAUCAUGUGCCCUCUAGUGUUAAUUUUGUGAAGGUUUUGUCCCAUUGUUUAAGGACUUUUGUUUAAUACCUAGUAUUAAAUUUCAAGUCAGAAAUUUGUGGUUUAUAAAAUCCUCUUUUGAUAAAUAAAAAGUAGUUAGACCACUGCCAUGAGUCAAUCUUUGUUUACUUUCAUGCUUAUUCAUGGUUUUUGCGAUACCAAGUAAUUAUGAAUCAUCGACUAUCAGCCACCCGCGAAUGGUCUUGCGUGAUAGGGCCCAAUCAGAAUGAUGUACAAAAUCGCCUCGCCAACAUUGAAGACGGCAUAGGACAGAUGUCCAUUAUCCUUCGACAACUCUCAAGGCAAAUGGAAUCCACUCAAGCUACACCCAACUCCGUAGAUGCUUUAAACACCCUCAUGACACCUGCGAAUUUGCCAUAGGAUAACCAACAGGACAGACAAUUUGUAAAGAUCAGGAAGAAGCUGAGCUAGCUGUAGGGGCAAGAUCCCAUGGACUUGUUUGUUAUGCUAGCAUCAAGAUCCCUGAAAAGCUCAAAGUACCUGAAUGCAAAAGGUAUGCUGAUACCUCUCGCCCAGAGACCUAUCUACAGGCCUACCUGGUCUGAAAGAUGAUUCAAUUGUACCAAUUGAACCUGACUGGCCCCACCUCGCGGUGGUACAUUAUCAGGAAGAUUAGUCUCCUUAAAACCUAAAGAGAACUAAUUGAUGCUUUCCGCCAAGAAUAUAAUGUUGACAUCGGUGCCAACAUCACCCUGCCCUAUGAAGAACCGAUGGUCACGGGGCACGAAGAGCCGAUAGCCGCAGAGUCGAGAGAUAACAUGUUUUUAAGAACACAUGCUAUGUCCGGGAGGAGCCCGACCGCCUAUUUUGAUUUGCGGACCACAGAAGAAGAUGUCAAUGAAGCCUUGCACGAUAAAUGGGCGAUCGAGCAGUAUCCUAUUACUGAGAAACUUCCUACUAGGAAAUGCAAGGAGCCCGCAGACGAAGUCAACACUGUUCAAGACCAGGGUACGGUAAGACAACUCCUCAGGCUUACUGCAAGAGCUAGGGUCCAAAGAAUACCGACUCCCAUUAACCUAGGGAGUGAAACUCCACCAUCUCCCACUCCCCUUGACAGAGUCCAACUUGUGAAAUGAAGGGCUUUACUUAAAAGGUCCAGAUCAGGAGUCAAGAAAAUAAAGCCUAAGCAAUUCGAUUCAACAUCUGCCACUAAGUGUAGGCAAAAUCUGAUAGCCAAUGAGCCACUGUGCCAAAACUUCGAGCAUCCCCUAGGGUACAACCCUGAAGGCUACCAUCAUCUAGGGUACAAUCCUGUAGGCUACCGGUCCCCAUAGUACAACCCUAAGGCUACUAGUCCCUAGGAUACAAUCCCGAGGGCUACCAAUGUUAUACAGAUGAAAUCAGCCAUUCAUCGUAUGACUGUCUCCCACCCACACACAGGAUCCAAAGCCCGUUAGAAGAGGAAACAUUUUUCUUUAUCCGCUAUGACUUGUCUCCCAAUGAAUUACUAAGCUUGUCACCUGACCAUGAGGAUAACUUAAAUGCCUCAUCCUCAUUUGGUGAUUUUGACCCAGAAGAAAGCAAUGAGAUGAUCUCGAUAGAGUUUAGCUUUCCUAAAAUAGCAGAAUUCAUCACUGCAAUGAAUGUGCAAUGGGAAAAUCAGUGGCCUAACCAAGACACAUCAUGCCCGUCUUGCCCUCAUAGGAUCAUGACCUCCAGAGAAAUGUGGAUACCUAAUCUCCGCAAGUAUAAUGGCACAACUUGCCUCAUGGUUCAUUUGCAAUAUCUCCAAGCUGAAAUGAGUUGGCACUAUAGCCCGAUGUCAUACACAACUCAGGCCUUCCAAGAAAGUAUUACAUGAUCUGCAUUGCAAUGGUUCAUCACUACCAAUAUCUACCUCAUAAGGGAUUGGAAUGAGCUGUUUUCCGCAUUCCUACAUCAAUAUCAAAGCCAUAUUAGAACUGAACUGCCUUGCAAGAACUUGGUUCAUUUUAGAAGAAGAUCAAUGGAGGAUUUCCGAGCAUAUGCAAGGAGGUGGGAGGCUUUUAUGAUGCAAACCUACCCUCGACUGGCCGAAGAAGAAAUGAUAAAGCUGUUCGUAGGGGCUUUACCUUGCAAGCAUCGUUGUUGGUUGUAUGGGUUGCACUUCCGUAGCUUCAAUGAAGUGGUCCUCUCAUGCGAAUACUUCGAGUCUAUUGGAGGCAAGGAACUCAAAGGCGCUUGAUUUCAGAACCAACACCAUCAAAGUGCUCCUUUUCAUAGGAGUUUUCAUGGGUUUUGCCUGUUUUUAUAAUUUCAUGUUUCUUAUCCUGUCUAGUGUGCUACUGUUGCAUUUUCCAUUUUUAGUAAUCUAAUGUACGGUUCUAAUAUUUUGUUUCGAAAGCAUGAGGCGGUAUCCCAAACCAGCCUAGUGAUGCUAUCCAACCAUGAAAAGAAAAUACCAUCUAAGGAGAAUAUUGAGGACUGGGCUUCCUUAUGCUUUCUUCCUCCAAAGAUAUAUAUUUUUGAAAACAUAAAAUAUUUCAUUACCAAAAGCUUGCGUCAAAACAAGAUGUUAGAUUUAAUCAUGUUUGUCUUUUGGACUCAUUCACUUCCUAUCUAAGAAUAUUUUCCCCAUCCCCUUUGACUUAGUGUGACAUGGGGCAUUUGAAGCUGGCGCAUCAUGUGAACUCGCCGAAUUCAAAGGCACUCUUCCAAGAAGGUAGUGGGGCAAACAGAAAAGAUCAUCCCACUUCAAAGAAUGUAAGUUUUAUUCUCUAAAUAUAAUUUUGGAAAUGAUAUCCUCUCUCUUCUAUUUAUAGGAAACGAAAGAUAAGACGUAAUAGGUACUGGCAUACUGUUGAAAUCAAGCUGUCCCCAGGAGCUCUGUGCACUUCACCUCGCUCCUGCCCAACUCUUUCUCAAACCGAAGCAAUAUCUUUUCCCCACAACGUGCUUGAGCAACUAGAUGUUGUGGUUUCAUCAACGGGACUUCCAGCUUCGACAAGCCAAGAAGCACAGAAAAGGAAUUUCUUCUCUUCCUUUGAAUUGGCUACUGUCAACAGAGAGGAAAUCCAAACAGUUGAGACGGUCUCUAGCUCCCUAUUUCAGAUGAUGACGUUAGGGCCUAGAAACCUCACUUCUUGCUCUAGAUGCAUGCUCUCCCAAGAAGUGAUUGCCAUCAGAGAAUUGGAGGUUUUGAUUGUCCAUCUUAGAUUCCAUAGAAGCUUCAAGUACAUGACUUUGCUCAAUGCUGCUAAUGGUCAUAUAGUCAAAGACAAAAAAAAAAAAAAUUCCAUAGAAGGAAGGCGUUGCAAAUCAUUAAUCGUGUACAUGGGGCCACAAAUGAAGAGGGCCAAUCAAAAGAGACAUUGAAUUGUGUCAAAGACAAAAGGCCGUCAUUGACAUUCAACUAUCCCUAGGAUUUAGUAAAUACAAACUCUGGAGAAGGGUAAUUUGGUAUCGUUUCCAAUAUUCCUACUAUCUGAACCCGCUUUUGACGUAUUUUCCCUAUUGACAAGAAGCAUCCGGAUUCAAGAACCAAGCUUAAUGGUUAAUUUGGGCAAAUCAAAUAACCCGUAUCAAAUCCACCUAACCAGGGUGUAAAAGGACAUGUAAUCCAAGAGUUGAUUCGAGUAAAAAAAAAACCCUACAGACACCACCGGCACCUUAGCCUAGUGGUAUGAGGGAUAAAGUGGUCCAGACACAACCGGGGUUCAAGCCUCGGGAGCGGCAACUAGUUGCCAUAUGUAAAAACUAAAAAAAAAAAUUUGCUUCUCUUGCGCCUACAAAUUAUGAGAGAACAGGUGACCUAUCGGAGUGAAAAGUGCAAGACUUCGUGUCCCACUCGCACUUCAGGUUCAUCCAAUCAUCUGCAAACCAAUAAAAGAUAAUGUUGUAUCGCUCCUAUUUGUCUGACUCCUGAGUGAGUUCGUAACUAACAUGUCCCCUUUUGUCUAUUGCAGGAUCACUUGGCCGUUAAAAAUACGAAUAACAAAUCAAGGAAAGACAUGUCAAACUUUGAUAAGCUCUCCUAAGCAAAAUGGCGUCCCAAGUAAUCGCCAAGGCAGAUGACAAAAAUCCUUCAGGCCUCAAUUCACAUUUAAUUUUGGCCCUAUUAACUGAUCCAUUUCUGCAUCUCCUCUUCUGCAGGGGCAAAAACAAAGAUGCUCGUUAGAUCGAUGAUCAGAUUCCCAACCCCAGCCGAUCCUUCUUGUGUCAUUUCCCUACUUAAUAUUGACAAUCCAUCGACACCCAUUUGUGAAUAACCCUUUUGAUGUUCAAAAUUUAACAACACUAUUAUGUUCUACCAACAAGGUCUUUUUUUUAGCAAAAACCAUUCAUUUGUUUUGAGAGUACAAGCUCCCUCAUAUUUAAAAUGCUGCACACCUUUUCCAAAUGGAUUUUGCAUGAUGAUUUUGUUUGUCUAAAUUACCGAUUCCAUUGAGGAUUAUCAAAAUAGAUAGAUAAAUGAAGAAUACAAGAAUUGAUUGAGCAUGCUAGAUGAGGCGCGUCAGGAUGAUAAAAGGUAAACUAUAUCCUACACACAGUCCCCCAUCUAUACACUUGUGAGAUGAGUGCAGAAGAUUCCAUGGCUGUAGGGUAAAGAGUUCACUCGUGAACGGUAUAAUAACCAAAACAGUGAGGCAUUUCAUUGCUCACCCCUUUGAGCCCCAUACACUGGAAUAAUUUUUGUCCAACCCCCCCGGUUAAGAACCACCCCACACUGGGGCAGAUCGAAGGCGAGGUAGAAUCACAAGGUGAGAAAAGGGAUAGAAAUUUUCUUGCUCACACUUGCAUCAAUCUUCGAGUGUCUUUAUUGCAUAUGAACACUCGCGUUAAUUUAAGUGUCCUGGAAUGAUGAGCAAUUCUUUUGCUACACACUUGUAUUCAUUGUAUAGCCCAAUUGAGUCUGUAAUUUCACCCCCACAUGGAGGCAAAAUAAAAGUUACUGCCGUUCAAGCAACAUAACCAGGAGCACCGGCAAAAGAUGAAGACUCAAGAGUCUAACAAAUAGUGUCGUGCUUGAACUUGCCUAUAUUAGUUCCUCAAGCAACAAGAAUGAAAAAACUAGGGGCAUGAAAAAGCAAUGUAUCUGGUAAAAGCAAGGUCAAUGCCAAUAGAUGAGAAAAAUUGGAAUAAAAACUAGGGGCAUGAAAAAGUAGUGUACCUGGUAAAAGCAAGGCGAUGCCCCCAAACAAAAAUACAACCAUUUGUAUUCCCAAGAGAAGUUGUUGUGGUUCAAUUAAUGGGGCCUCCAGAUGACGGUGAGAAGAAAGACCGGUGACAAAUGCCAAGGCAACCUCCAGCUUUCACCUUUUUACACAUGAGUCAAGCUUACAUUGCGUCCCAUUGUAAAAGUCUCUUCAAACUAGGGGCAUUUCAAUUAACAUAGGAUUCUAUACGUUUAUAAGCAUCGCUCGAAUAAGUACAAGCAAGAUUACUCUAUCUCUUUUCCCAGGGUUCUUGACUUGUAAACCUGGAGAUGAUUGUGCAACAUUUCAUCCAUCUGCUUUGACCUUGAUGGUCCCCUUUGAUGAGCCGCUGACCAAGUCUUCAUUACGGUUUUGACAAAGACCUCUCACAUUGGUAAAGUUGUGCUGUUUGCGAGAAUACUUGGACUCCUGUUGACAUGAUGACAGUGGGAAAUGUGGUCCUUAUAAAUCUUGCAUCAAUGGUCAGGAUAGCCUUUUCCAUGAGAGUGAGUGAAAAGUCCUUUUAGACUGAAAGUCCCUCAUCUAGCAUGCUCAAGAUAUUUACAUUCUAAAUGAAGGUUGUCUUUCAAAAUCUUCCCUAGUGGAACUCAGAUGAUGCAAAACUGACAAAAUUGUCAUGCAUGAAUCACAUUUAAAUUCAUGAAUUUACAGCAUGUACAAUCUUGUGUGCAUAUUGUGCAAAUAGCAGACAUACUCUUAGAGAUCAGAGAUAUUGCCAGGUAAGCAUAUCCUUAUCCCCAUUUGUCUUAAAGUACCUACCACCGUCCAGGUACUCUCUUCUUGACACUCGACCUAUUCGAGUCGUCCCUUAAGUUUGGGUGCUUGCAAUUGUCUAAGUAUCACUUUGUCUUUGAGUACCCACCACUUGACGGGUACUCCCCAGAGUAUUAAUAUUUGCGACUGUCUAGGUAUCCCCCUGUUUUUGAGUGUCUGCUGUUACUCAGGUGCUCCCUCUGUUGACACACGACCUGUUCGAGUUGUCUUUAAAGUUUGGAUGCUCGUGAUUGUUCAAGUAUCCUCUUGUCUUUGAGUACCAGCCACCGUUCGGAUACUUCUUUUCCGUGACACUCGACCUAUCCGAGUUGUCCUCAAAAUAGUAUCAUUGAAUACUAGUAGCCGUUCAAGUAUUCCAUCGCAUUGUGCGCCUGUGGUUACCCAAGUAUGCUUUCUUACACUUGGACCAGCCUGAGUGGUCCCAGAUCGUAUCAUUAAAUACUUGUGUUCAUCCAAGAAUUCUAGUACUUUGUACACCUGCAGUUACCUAGGUGUUUCAGCCAUUUUGAGUGUUUGCGGCCAUCCAGGUAAGCCUUGUGCUACAUUCAAAUUUAUGUUACCAAGAGGUGGGAGACCUCCUCGAAUAUGCGUGGCACGUCCUCAAUAUUCCCUUUAUCAGGAGGUGAGAGACCUUCACAAAUAGCCGAGGCACGUCCUCGAUAUUCCAACUACCAAGAGGCGAGAGACAUUCAAGAAUAUCUUAGGUACGUCCUCGAUAUCCCCAAUUACUAGGAGGUAAAAGACCUUUACAAAUAUCUCAGGUACGUUCUCGAUAUUCCAUCUACCAAGAGUUUGUACUUGUAAUCCUCCAAGUACCCCUUCAAUACUUGCGAACGUCCAGGUAUCCUCCAAAAGUUUGUACUUGUGAUCAUCCAAGUACUCUUUCGAUACCUGCAAGCAAUCAGGUAUUCUGUAGAAUUUCGUACUUGUGAUCAUCCAAGUACCCCUUUGAUGUCUGCAAACGUCCAAGCAUCCUUCAAAGUUCAUACUUGUGAUUAUCCAAGUACUCUUUCGAUACCUGCAAGCAAUCAGGUAUUUUCCAGCAUCUAGUACUUGUGAUCAUCCAGGUACUCCUUCAACGCUUGCGAAUGUCCAGGCACCCUCCAAAAUUCACACGUACGAUCAUCCAAGUACCCCUUCGACGCCUGUAAAGGCCCAAAUAUCCUCCAGGUUAGUACUUGUGAAUAUCCAAGUACUCUUUCAAUGCCUGUGAAUGUCUAAGUAUCUUCGAGAAUAGAUGCCCUGGGAAAGAUUGGCGCAUCUCCCGAGAAAGGUCGGGAACCAACCAGUGUCAUUGAUGAAGAUUAGGCACCCUACAAAUCGAUGCCUUAAGAAAGGUCGACGCAUCUCCCGAGAAAGGUUGGGUACCAAUCGGUGUCCUUGACAGAGAUCAGGCACCCCACAAAUUGAUGCCUUAAGAAAGGUCGGUGCAUCUCCCAAGAAAGGUCAAGUACCAACUGGUGUCCUUAAUAAGAUCAGGCACCCACAAACAGAUGUCUCGAGAAAGGUCGACACAUCCCUCGAGAAAGGUCGGCAAAAAAACUUAUUGCUUUAAUAGGCAACUGAAGAAUGGUUCGGGUCUUGGAAAAGUAAUUCCUCGUCAAGGCGACCAAAGAAAGGUUCGGGUCCUAGACAAACCACUUAUUACUCUAAUAUGCGACCGAAGAAAAGUUCAGGUCCUAGAAAAGCAAUUCAUUAUCAAGGCGACUAAAAAAAGGUUCGAGUCCUAGACAAACCACUUAUUGUUCUAACAGGCGACCAAAGAAAGGUUUGUGUCCUGGAAAAGCAAUUCCCUGUCAAGGUGACCGAAGAAAGGUUCGGGUCCCAGACAAACCACUUAUUGCUCUAACAGGCGACCAAAGAAAAGUUUGGGUCCUAGACAAACCACUUAUUGCUCUAAUAGGUGACCGAAGAAAGGUUUGGGUCCUAGAUAAACCACUUAUUGCUCUAACAGGCGACCGAAGAAAGGUUCAAGUCCUAGACAAACUAUUUAUUGCUCUAACAGGCGACCGAAAAAAGGUUCGGGUCUUGGAAAAGCGAUUCCCCAUAAAGGCGACCAAAGAAAGGUUCGAGUCCUAGACAAACCAAUUGCUUUAACAGGCGACCGAAGAAUGGUUCGGGUCUUGAAGAAGCUGAUAUAGCUAGUAUAAACACCUAGAGGGGGUGAAUAGGUGUAGAAAUAAUUUUUCGAGAUAUGAAAGCAAUACUAGGUAAACAAUAGAAAUGAAGCUCUCCUUUAGUUAACAAAACGAACUAUGAUCAAAGUAAAACAGGGAGUAGGGAAGAGAAAAUUGAACACAAGGUUUAUAGUGGUUCGGCUUAUUCCAAGCCUACGUCCACUCUUCUGCACUGACAGCCCACCGGCUGGAUUUCACUAUGAACAAAAGAGAUGUUACAGCAAUGCUUUCCCUUGAUUCCACAGUGUAGAUACUCUACCACACUUCCUCAAGGUAUCCCAAAAUAUAGACUCUCUUUUGCGUACAAGAUUUCGCUCAGUAAGUGAAUUGACUAAGAAUCAAAGAGCUUCAGACUUUGGAAUUCUUCUAUCGUGCACUCCUCGAACAACUGGAACGUCUUCCUUUUAUACUCCUUUGUGCCAUCAUACCCGUUGGCACUUACCAAAGGAAUUCUUCCAAUCCUCCCAUUGGACAGAAUCAAUUAGGAAGAUCAUUCGAGCUAUUAAAGGAACAUGUCGAUAGCCCAUCAAUCCUGCUCGCCCAUACAAUCAAGAUCUUGGUUUCCAUAAGUAAAACCUUCCAAGAAUACUUCGCCAAUCAUUGGAUCUUUAAUCAUUCUUGAUUUGAAUAAAGGAAUCCGUUAUGUCAUAUCCAGCCAAGAGAUCUUCUCCAGUCGAUAAGGCCAAAUCCUUAAUGAAGCACUCAGAUCUGGAUAGUCUUUCUUCAACGGAUUAGAAACUGUCAAUGAGAAUAGACUUUGAGCCUUGAGUCUGGUAGUCCGGAGGUCUUCAGACUUUAAUAGUAGAGUCUGCAAAACUUCAGAUUAGACUGAUAGAAACGUUUUGUCAGCUUCAAAAUAUUCCAGAAAGAUUUCUCCAACAAUCUCCCCAUUUUUGAUGGUGACAAAACUUUCCUGCAGAUUUGAACAACUUUGACCUGCAAAACAUUACUCAAGCAAAUAUGGAUAUCUCAUAAAGAUUAAUGGCUUAAUGAUAACACUAGAAUCUGCAACAACAGAAAAUAUGUUAGUUUUGCAUGAGAGUAAAGCCAUUCAUAAGAUAUCAAUAGUUCUUAAUAUAAGCAGCAGUCAAAUCCAAAUCCACAUUCAGUCAGUCCACAUCCAGACACAGACACACAAGUCAAACAUCAAAACAAACUGAAUUUUUAACAAGUUUAAAUUCAAAGAUUUCAAAUCUCGCAUCUCUCCCCCUUUUUGUCAUCAUAAAAAAGGUUGAGAUGGGAAUAGAAUGGAGUCAAGUUUGCUUGGAAACGCGAACAAGUUGGAAAUCUCCCAUGGACUGGAUGAUGCCUUCCAGCUUUUUCAAUUCUUCCUUCAGUUGAUCCACCUCUUCACCUUUAGCAUUGGCUUGAAUCUGAAGAGCAAGGGCUUGGAUCUGAUUAGAUAAGGAAACGGAAGAAGCUUGUCCUGCAUUCUUCAAGUUCUGAACUUCACAUUCCAAAGCAUAUAUCUGACCCCGCAUUUCCAAAAGAACAUCAAUGAUUCUACGAAAAUUUGCUGAGUUAUCAGUCUGCAUACUGGCUUCGGCACGAUUUGAUGGAGUAAAGGUAGACGAUGGAAUAUCAGCAUAAUCACGCAGAUUUGGCGAUGAAGCACCAUGUCCCUCCUCUGGAAAUUGAGAGGCAUGGAUGUCCUUUAGAUCUGCUGGAGAGCGGCUGACUCCUUCACUGUUAACAGGAUAUGAGGACAUUCCUCUUUUCUCACCAUCUCCCCAUGUUUCCAUGGCUUCAGGUGGAGAAGAGUGUUCCUCAUGCUCUCCUUCCUCUUGAUUUUCUCUUUUUUCUUCUUCUUCAAACAUUUCCUCCUCUGCUUCUCUUUCUUCAGCUUCUCUCUCCUUUUCUUCCUUCUCCUCUGCUUAUGUCUCUUCUUCUUCUUUCUCCUGUCCUUCUCUCUCCUCUGCUUCUUUCUCAUGUCGUUCCAUUGAUUCUGGAACAGAACAACUCAGCUUCUUCAAUGCUAUAGCAGAAAUUGUGAGGUCAUCUUCAUCAUCUUCAUCAAUGAUGAGAGCUUUUCUCUUUUUGGAUGGAGUAACCAUGGGCUCCUUCCCUUUUCUUUUCGCUGCUGAAGAGACUUGAUGAGAUUUGACAGGGGUUUUCUCCAUAAAUUUCUCCAACGCCUUGUCGAGUUCUUUCAGACGCAUUUUGGACACCAUUUUCAGUCCUACCACCAUUUUGUCACAUGGUCGAACACAGAUAAUUUGUGGAGGCUGAAUAUUCAAAUGUAUGAAUAUCUUUGACACAAGACCUGGAUAAGGAAGUUGGCCCUUGUCCUUCACCACUGCUCUAUACAUGUGGAACAGAAUAGUGUGAGGAAGAGAAAACUUUUUCCCAGCAUUGAUGGCGUACAUCAGCUUUGCCUCUGAGUUAGAAACAUCACUCUUGGAAGUUGAUUUCGGUCUGAGGCAAUUAAUCACAAUCUUGUGAAGCAGAAUGUUGAACGCACGCAUCCUUGAGUAGGAAAUCCUUCCCUCUGUCCUUCUGUCUUUAACAAGUUCCAAUGUGGCACGAGCUAUAGAGACACUGAUGGGUUGAUAUCUCCCUCUCUCAACCCCAAUCACAUCCGUCAACAUAUCCACAUCCACUACAAAGUCCUGAUCUCGGAUACUGAAAGAGAUUCUAUUUGCAUCCAAGAAACUAAGAUUUGAAUAGAAAUAUGCAGUUAAUUGAGCAUAGGCUUCUGUGGAGUCAGAACAGAACUGUUCAAGUUGAAGAAAACUGAACUUUUCCCUCAAAUUUACAUUCACAGCAUCAAGGAAAUCAAAAUCCACACUCCUAGGGUUUAUCACCCCAUGCUUCAACAAUUUGGAGUAUAGAUACUUCUGUUCCUUCGAUCUAAACAACUCUGUUCUUUUUCCUCGAAUUUUCGCUGCAAUACCCAUUCUCGGUUGAAAUUGGCUGUACAAUUUGUCAUCAUCAUUCCCAUCUAUUGGAUUAAAUCCCCCAACAUGCGGAUCACUUGGGAUAUUUGCAAGGGUUUUUUCUGCCAACCCCUUUAGGAGCAAUUUCCAAACUCUCCAUUUUUCGUAAAAAGAUGUACUCAUUCCCAUAUCUCUUGUCCUUAAGAAACUCAUCGAUGUAGCUCAAUAGAGUACCAAUGCUCUUUAAAGCACGGUAAAGCUUAUAAAUAAAAGAGGGCUUUUGAAUUCUUACAGGAUCUGCGUCUUCAACGAUUUCUUCCUCUUGUUGAUGACCAGCACCUUAUGGACUAGUUGGUGGAGAAUGACGCUGCUGAGAAUGUUGUGGGCUCUGCUGCUGACUUGGUGACUCCUCUUCCUCGGUGAGAUCAAAGUGAGCAGGCCCCUCACUCAUUCGUCGUGGUCCCCUGCUUGCGAUCCUCGAAGACUUUCUUGAAGAUGACAUCUUUCUCAGUUUUCGAAAGAUUCCUUGCUUGACUUUCCCAAGAAAGAUGACAACUUUUUCGAAGAUUAAACAAGGGAGGAAGACAGGAAUGGAAGAUUGAUGCUUUUUAGGGUUUUGGAGUUAAGUGAAGAGGAACCGACUGUAUAUAGCUCAGUCGAAAUGGGGGAAUGCUAAACGUCGUCAAGGAAGGUUAAAAGAUGCCUUUUAAAAAAAAAUAACUGCCUUUUUCAAAAAUAGAUAACUGCCAUUAACUCUUUUUGGAAAAGGAAAAAUUGCACUUUUCACGGAAAUUGAAGAUAGCAUAAAUCAAUUAUAAAUAGAUAAAUGAUCGUACCUUUACGAGAUUUAAUAUAAGAGAAAAUAAAAUAACUUACAGUCAAGAACCAUGAUUAUUUGAGUCUGAGAGUCUCUAUACUUUAACUUCUUCAAGCUUCAAGAUGUUGAGUCUGGAACGGAUGAUUUCAAAUUGAUUUUUCUCCAAAGGCUUUGUAAAUAUAUCCGCCAGUUGGUUCUUUGAGUCAACAAACUGAAUCGAAACUUCUCCAUUUUGAACAUGAUCUCUAAUGAAGUGAUGUCGAAUCUUACUAUGCUUUGCUCUUGAGUGAAGAAUUGGAUUUUUGGUAAGAUUGAUUGCACUGGUAUUGUCACAGUUAAUCUCCGUGCAUGAAUCUUCAAUUCCAAAGUCUCUUAGCUGUUGUUUUAUCCACAAAAUUUGUGAACAACAACUUCCGAGAGCUACAUACUCUGCUUCUGCUGUUGAAAAAGUUACUGUAUUUUGCUUCCUUGAAAACCAAGACACUGUCCUGCUUCCAAGUAACUAACAGGUACCCGAGGUGCUCUUUCUAUCAACUUUGCAACCGGCUAGAUCUGCGUCUGAGUAUCCAAGAAGAGUAAAGUCUCCCUUUUUAGGAUACCAAAGGCCGAUGCUUGAAGUUGAAGCAAUGUAUUUGAUAAUACGCUUUAUAGCACUUAAAUGAGAUUCUUUAGGGUCUGCUUGAAAUCUAGCACGAAUGCAAACACUAAACAAAAUGUCAGGUCUAGAAGUAGUAAGAUAAAGAAGUGAACCGAUGAUACUCCUGUAUAGCUUCUGGUCAAUUUUUUUUCAUCCUUCAUCUUUGUCUAUCUUCAAGGAACUUGACAUUGGUAUAUCAGUCUUUUUGCAAUUUUUCAGUCCAAACUUUCUGACAGAUCAUUAGCAUAUUUUCUGAUGAAUAAAAGUCCAUUCUUCAAUUGUUUCACUUGAAGUCCAAGAAAGAAGGUUAGUUCACCCAUCAUGCUCAUUUCAAAUUCAUCCUGCAUAGACUUAGAGAAUUUCUUGCACAAACUUUCAUUAGAGGAUCCAAAAAUAAUAUCAUCAACAUAUAUUUGAAUAAGCAGAAAACUUUUGUUCUCUUUUGAUAAAUAGAGUAGUGUCUACUUUACCUUUUACAAAGCCAUUUUGAAUUAAAAACUUACUCAGCAUGUCGUACCAAGCUCGAGGUGCUUGCUUUAAACCAUACAAGGCUUUUUUCAGUCUGAAUAUGGAGUCUGGCUUCCUUGGGUCUUCAAACCCAGGUGGUUGUUCCACAUAGACUUCCUCAUGGAUAAAUCCAUUCGGGAAAGCACUUUUGACGUCCAUUUGGAAUAACCUGAAAUUCUUAUAACAAGCAAAAGCAAGUAAUAAUCAAAUUGCUUCUAACCUUGCUACUGGUGCGUAAGUCUCGUCAUAGUCUAUCCCUUCUUCUUGCAUAUAUCCCUUGGCCACGAGUCUUGCUUUGUUUCUUACGACUUUUCCUUUUUCGUUCAUCUUAUUCUCGAAAACCCAUUUAGCUCCAAUAAUAGAUUUACCUUUUGGUUUAGGAGUCAACUCCCAGACAUCAUUAAUACUGAAUUGUCUGAGUUCUUCUUGCAUAGCUUCAAUCCAGCUUUCAUCAGAUAAAGCUUCUUCUAUGCUUUUUGGUUCUAUUUCAGAAAUAAGAGCCACAGCACUAGACUCUUCGCACCUUUUGGAUCUUGUGCGAAUUCCUUCAUUAAUGUCGCCAAUAAUGAGAUCUUUGGGAUGACUGGACUUAUGCUUCCAGUUACUGGUUGAUUUGUCAGGUUGAUGAUUACUUCCUUCAUUUGAAUCUUCAAUAACUAUUUGUUGUUGGUCUUUCAGAGUCUGAGCUGCUUCUUGAGAUUUAGACUUUGUAGAGUCUGGAGCAGGUUCAGAUUCUUCAAGAUGAGUUUGAAUAGAUUCAUUUUGCAUAGAAUCCUGGAAUUUGACAUUCAUUGAUUCCUCCAUAGAUUGACUCUUCUUGUUAUAGACUCUGUAGGCUUUGCUUGAGGUAGAAUAUCCAAGGAAGAUACCUUCGUCUGAUUUUUCUUCAAACUUACCAACUCUAUCAUUUGCAUUUUUCAAUAUAAAGCAUUUGCAUCCGAACACAUGAAAAUAUGAAACAAUAGGCUUCUUUCCUUUGAAUAACUCAUAAGGGUUUUUUUUUUUUUUUCCAUAAUAGGCCUUAGAAAAACUCUAUUGAUAAUAUAACAUGUUGUUGAAACUGCUUCAGCCCAAAAUCGUGAAGAGAUGUUAAUUUCAAUUAAAAGAGUUCUAGCCAUUUCUUGAAGCGGUCUAUUCUUUCUUUCCACAACUCCAUUUUGCUCUGGAGUAUAUGGAGAGGAGAACACAUGCUGAAAACCAGAUUCAUCACAGAAUUUUGUAAAAUCUUGAUUUACAAAUUCACCUCCAUGGUUUGUUCUUAUACUCGAGAUAACAUACCAUUUUUCAUUUUGAACCUUUUUAGCAAACUUUUCAAAGUAAGAGAAUGUUUCAGACUUACUUGCCAGGAAAUAUACCUAAGUAAAUCGUGAGUAGUCAUCCACAAUUACUAGGCAAUAUUUCUUACCUCCAAUGCUCUGAGUUUUGGUUGGUCCAAAGAGAUCCAUAUGCAGAAGCUGCAGUACACGAUUAGUGGAAACUUGAUUUAUUGGUUUAAAGGAAUUUCUUACCUGCUUUCCCAAUACGCAUGGUGUACAUAGAUCAUACUUUUGGUAUGAUAAAUUGGGUAGACCACGAACAAGCUUCUUUGCUGAAAUUUUGGCUAUCUGCUUCAUAUUGAUGUGCCCAAGCUUUCUGUGCCAUAAGCUUGCUUCAUCUUGAAUUGAGAUUAGACAUUGCGAUUCAUCUGGUUUCACAUCCAAGAGGUAGAUAUUUCCAUGUCUUCAGCCCAUGAAUGACUGAGUAGAAUCUUUACUGGUUCCUGAACAUAUUCCCUCUUGAAAGUUGAUUUUGAAACCAAUAUCACAUAGCUGACUGAUACUGAGCAUAUUGUAGUUGAGUCCUUCCACUAGGGAAACAUUGCUUAUUGUGAGGUUUCCAAUCUUUACAGUUCCAAAUCCCACAAUUCUUCCUUUGUUGUUUCCUCCAAAUGAGACUUUUCCACCAUUUACUUGAACGAGCUUUAUGAAGCAAUUUGAGUUUCCUGUCAUAUGUCUUGAGCAUCCACUAUCCAGAUACCAUUUUACCUUUUUCUUGAUAGUGACCUGCAUUUAAAAAGACUUAAGCUUUCUUUGGUACCCAUAUUUUCUUGGGUCCAUUGGUGUUAGUAUGAUAUGCGGUUUUUGCCCAUACUUUCUUAACAGGUUUCCAAACCAUAGGACACUCUUUUUCAAAAUGAUCUGCACUAUUGCACUUUGAACAUCUGAGAGCAUUUCGACUUACCGGUUUUACAAACACUUUUUGAAAAUGAUUUUUGUAAAAUGUCUUUGGAGGUCUUUGCUUAAUACUUUCAUUCACUUUAGGAAAAUCAAUUAAAGGAAUGGUUUCUGCUGUCAUUCCUAAACCAGAUUUAUUGAAAUAAGGUCUUUGUGCUGAAAGAAUUUUUUCAAGUUUCUCAGAUCCUAUUGAAAAUCUUUUUGAAAUAUUUGAUAAGUCAUUUUUUAAGAAUGCAUUUUCUUUCAAGAGAUUAUCUUCGCUUUCUUUAAGAGUAGAAACAUUCAUGUCUAAACAUUUCAACUUUUCUUUCAAAACAUUUUCCUAUUGUUUUAGUGCAGAGUUUUCCUUUUUAAGUUCGGAAAUCCUUUUAAGAGAAGUCUUAAGACUAAAACACAGCUCAUCAAUGUAUUUAGAAACUUUAACAGGGAUUUUAAAGUUACUUACCUCAAAUUCACUGUCUGAAUCUGAGUCAGUCUCGGAGUUUGAUUCUUAAUCCGAUUGUGCCAUCAGACAUAUAUUGGCAUAAUCAUCAUCACUUUCUUCACACUCUGUAUCACUCCAGGUUUCUGCUUUAAGAGCCUUUCGAUUCUUUUCAGCUUUUCCUUUCUUCUUUCUUAGAAGAGGACAGUUGGGUCUGAUGUGUCCAUUUUUCUUACAUUCAAAGCAGACUACAUCUUUGUUUGAUUCAUCAUCAUCAACAGACUUGGUAUGUUGCUUUUGAAAACUCUGUUUCUUUGGAUUGAAUCUUCUUCCUUUCCUGUUCAGCUUUCUGGAUCUUCUUAUCAUGAGAGCAAGCUCCUCAUCGUCCAUAUCGUCUUAAGAAUCUAUGACAUCAGAAUCAUCAUUGGAUUUUAAUGCAAUGGAUUUCUUACCUUUAGGAUCUUCGUCUUCGUUGAUUCGUUCCACUUCAUAAGACUGAAGAAUUCCAACCAACUCAUCGACAGAUAGUGGCAUGAUUCUUUGUGUCUCUCUUAUUGAGGUCUUUAUGUGAUUCCAAUCCUUGGAGAGUCCACGCAAUAGCUUGUUUACCUUCAUGGGAUCAGAAAUUGGUUGACCUUGAUUUUCAAGACCAUUCACGAUUUCUGUAAAAUGACUAAACAUGUCUGUUAUAGAUUCUCCUGAUUUCAUUUUGAAGGCUUCAUAUUAACCGAGGAGAAUGUUGAUUCUGGUCUCUUUCACUCGAUCAGUUCCUUCAUAGGUGAUAUGUAAUCUAUCCCAGACUUCUUUUGCUGUAACACAUGAAGAUAUUCUGUUAUAUUCAGUAGGUGACAAAGCACAAUAUAAAGAAUAAAUUGCUUUUGCAUCAAGAGCUUGUCUCUUGAUUAUCUCUUCCUGAGUCAUUUCACUUGACCCAACAGUUUCUUUUCCUCUCUCUGAGACAGAUGCAGCUUUAGGAGUGAUUCAUUUUUCUACAACAUCCCAUUCCAGAGGAUCCUUUGAUCAUAGGAACGCUUUCAUCUUGUUUUUCCAGAUGUUGUAAUCCUUUCCAUCAAAGUAAGGUGGUCUGGUAUUGCUUUGCCCUUCCACCAGCCCUGGAGCUAGCAUACUAGCCAUGGAUCUUUAACUCUGAAGUAAAACACUUCAAAUAAAGUGAGUACACAGGCUCUGAUACCAAUUGAUAUAGCUAGUAUAAGCACCUAGAGGGGGGUGAAUAGGUGUAGAAAUAAUUUUUCGAGAUAUGAAAGCAAUACUAGGCAAACAAUAGAAAUGAAGCUCUCCUUUAGUUAACAAAACGAACUAUGAUCAAAGUAAAGCAGGGAGUAGAGAAGAGAAAAUUGAACACAAGGUUUAUAGUGGUUUGGCUUAUUCCAAGCCUACGUCCACUCUUCUGCACUGACAGCCCACCGGCUGGAUUUCACUAUGAACAAAAGAGAUGUUACAGCAAUGCUUUCCCUUGAUUCCACAGUGUAGAUACUCUACCACACUUCUUCAAGGUAUCUCAAAAUAUAGACUCUCUUUUGCGUACAAGAUUUCGCUCAAUAAGUGAAUUGACUAAGAAUCAAAGAGCUUCAGACUUUGGAAUUCUUCUAUCGUGCACUCCUCGAACAAUUGGAACGUCUUCCUUUUAUACUCCUUUGUGCCAUCAUACCCGUUGGCACUUACCAAAGGAAUUCUUCCAAUCCUUUCGUUGGACAGAAUCAAUUAGGAAGAUCAUUCGAGCUAUUAAAGGAACAUGUCAAUAGCCCAUCAAUCCUGCUCGCCCAUACAAUCAGGAUCUUGGUUUCCAUAAGUAGAACCUUCCAAGAAUACUUCGCCAAUCAUCGGAUCUUUAAUCAUUCUUGAUUUGAAUAAAGAAAUCCGUUAUGUCAUAUCCAGCCAAGAGAUCUUCUCCAGUCGAUAAGGCCAAAUCCUUAAUAAAGCACUCAGAUCUGGAUAACCUUUCUUCAACAGAUUAGAAACUGUCAAUGAGAAUAGACUUUGAGUCUUGAGUCUGGUAGUCUGGAGGUCUUCAGACUUUAAUAGUAGAGUCUACAAAACUUCAGACUAGACUGAUAGAAACGUUUUGUCAGCUUCAAAAUAUUCCAGAAAGAUUUCUCCAACAGAAGCAACCUCCUCAUGUCACGAGGUAAGAUGACGCCUUAAUACUUGCCAAACUCGGGGUUCACACCCUAUCUCACUCACUCCCGGUAAGAAACUAUAGGUAUGUUCUUAUCUGUCUUAGUAUGUGUAAUGUUAUAUUGCUCUUUUUCUGCAUAGGACAAUAGGUCCCAAAUAGAAUAUAAUCUGCUGCACAUGCAUGGAUAAAAUUUAGGCAUCAGUUUGUCUUUGAAUGCAACCUCUGUGAGCUCAUCUUCAAAGAGGGUCAGCUGUUGAUGCCUAAAUUUUCAUUAGGCUUUUUAGAUUAGGCCUUAGUCUAUUUUAAUCUUUGUUUUUCCUUUUUUUUCGGAUAAUAAAUAAUAAAUAAUAAAAACAACAACAAAAAUAGUAAAAACAAAAGAAAACAAAAAAUUGGAAGCCCAUUGGGGCUGGGCCUUCAAGCCAAGCCCCCCUCAUUUUUCUCUCCCCCGCGCGGGCCCAGCCUAGCCCUUUUUUUCCCCAAAUCCAGUCUGCAAUCUUUCUUCCUUCUCCCUCCUUCUUCUUCUUCCUUGCUCCUUCCUUCUCUGCCUCUGUAGGCCACGCGCAGCGACGACGUCGCUCUCGAAGACAACCUACGGUCGAGGAGGGGUGGCCAACGUCGGCCGGAAGAGACAGAUCUCAGGCGCCAUUAUUAGCUGUCUUCAAUGUCGAGCACGCCUUGUUGGAGGAACUCAGAUGGGACGCCGGUUCAGCCGAGGAGGACCGGUCGACAAGCAAAAGACCGGUGGCCGAGGCUCUCCGUCGACCGGACCCCCUUGCCUAUAAAUAGCGAGGCACCACCUCCGUCGAUGGACACAACACACAAGCCAACAAGCUCAAAGAUCCCCCGAGAGACUUCGAGGAGCCCAAAGAGCGAGUAAGGCAGAAAUCGGGUUGCGAGCUCAAACCACCUCCCUUCAAGAGACUUCGAGGGAGGCCAGCCGCGAGUGAACCCGAGGAAGACGAGCAUGGCCAAGAGAGAAUCCAAGGUAGCCAGCUCCGAUUGCUUCCUCCAAGAGACAUCAGAGGAGGUCUAAGGGCCGACCAACCCAGAUCCAGAUCUGGUCAGAGUAAGGGUUCUGAGCUGAGAUCUGAGUUUCAGAUCUAGAGAUCCGAGAGAAAGGCGAGCGAAAGAGAAGCCGGAGGCCCUGACGGUGGAUUUGAGAAAGGCCGAACUGUCGCCUCCCGUCGUCGGGUCUGCUGCAGCAAAGCUACCACUGCCACUAGACUACCGCCGAGCCGUGCCGUUGUUUCCCCCUGACACCAACAUACUAGAUCUGGAAGUUGAGGAGGUGCCGUCGCUGCCCUGUUGCGACCGCCAGUCGACCUUCCCCCACACAGCCGACCGUCGCGACGCCGUCCCCGCCGUGCUCCCUUCGCGUCGAGCCCUGGUAAGAGGGCUCCGAGCUUCGCCUCGCUUCAAACGGUCCAUGCCGGAACUCGGAGCCGUCGAGCUCGUAUGAGUUCCGACAUAAACCGUCCCUCUUGAUUCAAAGCACGCCAAGUCCACCCCGACAUCGAUCCCAUUGAACCACCGGCUCCUGCCUUCCGCUGUGUCGCCACCAUCACCGCCCAAUGAUCCCCCCUUGGCCCUCCUUCGGCGCCGCGGACAGAGAGAGAGAGGAGGUCCCGUUCUGGGUCAAAAGUCGGGUCGAUAAAACCCUCCAACCGGGUAGGGUUUGGCUUUAAAGCGGGCCGGGUUUGGGUCAUUAUUUGGGCUAGGUCAUGGCAAGUCGAUCGGGCCGUUUGUGUGGGGUGGGGGUCGGCCUCGCGUGGGCUGAUUGUGUGCGGGCCCGUAUUUCGGGCUUGUCUAGGUCGGCAGUUGGCCAUGCAAGCCGCGAACAAGGUCAGUCCCAACUCGGGAAUCUAACCCGGGUCAUUUUUAUAAUUAAAAAAUAGUAUUUUAAUAAAUAAAAAUAAAAAUAAAUAUUUUAUUGUCCAGAAAAUUAAAAAAAAUCAAAAUAUUUCAUAUUUUCCAAAAAAUAAAACCAAAAGAAGUCAGAAAAAGCCAAAAAAAAUUAUUUAUAUUUUCUUAAAAAGAUCAAAAAGAUAAAAAAAAAAAAUGCUUUUAUGUCCAAAAAAUGAGAAAAUGACCCAAAAAGUAUUUUUCCUCCAUAAAUGCAUGGAAAAUCUCCUCAAAAUUCAAAAAGCUUAGGGUUUAAACAUGAUAGGUACGAAAGGGCAUAGUGAUUACUAGUGUAAUCAAGUCCUUGAUCUAUUUUCUCUGGUUGCACAGGAGAGAGUGUUUCUCUCGAUAUUUCGCUUGGGUUUCUAAUCGACUCACCCUAAAUUAAUUAGUGGCGACUCCUUUUUAAAUUAACUCAAAAGUUUAAUACUUGAACCAUUAAAGUCGUGAAUUGGUGGACUUGGGAGAGUCCAAGCUACACUUAAUAAACCUAGCCGAACCAUUAGUCUCCGCAGACACCUGCCCCAAUCAGGCGUCGAAAAAAAGAGGUCGCAAUAGCACUCGACCUGACAUCGCUUUUGCUGUGGGAAUAUUGGGAAGAUAUCAGAAUAAUCCAGGUAUGGACCAUUGGAGAGCUGCAAAGAAAGUGAUGAGAUACCUUUAAGGUACCAAAGACUACAUGCUUAUGUAUAGACGGAUUGACAAAUUGGAAGUAGUUGGUUAUUCAGAUGCGGACUUUGCGGGCUACGUUGAUUCACGAAAAUCAACAUCGGGAUACAUUUUUAUGUUAACUGGCGGAGCCAUGUCAUGGAAAAGUGCAAAACAAACUUUAACUGCUACUUCCACUAUGGAGUCUGAGUUCGUUUCUUGUUUUGAGGCUACCUCGCAUGGUGUAUGGUUGAAGAGUUUCAUUGCUGGGCUUAGAAUUGUUGAUUCUAUUUCUAGGCCAUUAAGAAUAUAUUGUGACAAUUCAGUUGCGGUUUUUAUGGCUAAAAAUACCAAAAGUGGCAGUCAAAGUAAGCAUAUCAACAUAAAGUAUUUAGCUAUAAGGGAAUGUGUUAAGGAGAACUAAAUGGUCAUUGAACACGUUAGCACUAAAUUGAUGACAGCUGAUCCUUUAACUAAAGGCAUGCCAUCAAUGAAGUAUAAGGAUCAUGUAACUAGUAUGGAAAUAGGUCCCAUCAUGUGAUUUGUCAUCAUAUGGACGAUUUCUGUUGUAUGAACUCUUAUUCAGUUGUAAUGUUGAUUCUCAAUUUGGGUGUACACAUUUUGUUGUUUAUGAGAAUAACAUUUAUCCUUGGUUCUAGAAUAAACAUAGGGUUUUUUCAUUAAGAUGUGUUGUCACAUAUAGGCUGACAUUAAAGAAAUAAGAUGCAUUGUGAUACAUGAAAGAUAUCAUUCACUCUUAAAGGACAUGUCGCCAUGAUCCAUGCGUUUUGUUUCUUUUCUUUACGAAUAAAGUUUUUCGUGAAAUAAGUUGAAUAAUUCGUAUGAUGAAAAUGAUGGGAUCAUGUGGGAGAAUGUUAUUAUUUUUAGUGAUCCCAUAUUUCGGGCCACCAUUUCUCUUACAGUGGCAGUAUCCCACAUGAAGUUUUUCCACAUUUUGUUCCCCUUGUGACAAUCUGCCCAUUAUGUGACCGUGUGAUAGGAGACGGUGUAUAAAAGAAAGUAAGUUCUUUCUGACGAGCAAAUACAAGGUCUAACACAAAUCCUCACAUUUGGAAUACACCAUCAGUACGUGAGGGAAUUGAGUUAGUAGUGUAUGCCCAAUAUUUCUUUGAUUUUUCAAGAUUUACCGACAAACGUAAAUACGAACAAUGACUGGAGGUUUGUCUAUAAUCGAUCCUAGCUUCUGCAUUUGAUUUUUAUGUCUUACAGAAGAUGCAAAGAGGGCGUCGACCAGGAGUUGGUGGUUGGGGCCAGGCAAGCUAGGGACAGUCGAGAUGCCAGAGGCCAUGCGCGCUGGUGCGUAAAAGUGAGAGAGGGAGAGUCAGCCAAAGGGGGUUUCUUGAGAGAGAGAGAGAGAGAGAGAGAGAGAGAGAGAGAGAGAGAGAGAGAGAGAGAGAGAGAGAUGAAGAGUGAGAGAGCUUGAAGCUGCUUGCGUUGAGCAUCGCUCGCCCAUCCUCGACGCCAGUUGCCAACCUCUAGCCGAUGCCCUUGAGCGCAAGACUUCUUGUUCCCAAACCUCAGCAUUUCCGAUGAGUUUCUUUUCAGUUCAAACCCGCCGUUCCCAAGGAUCUCGGCUCGGAGACAUCGCGAGGCAGCCGACUAAAGUUCGAUUUGUCUCAAACUGGCCCUUGUGCUAUCGUCUUCGAGCUGAGUAGGGGUUUUUGUGACUGAAACUCAUCCCCCAUGAACCCUCUUAGCACUGCCCUGUUUUGGCGAUAGAAUAGCUGAGCGAGUUGUCUCUAAUUCUUGAGUUUUUUGUGUGCGACUAAGUCGAUUUGUUUGAUGUUGAGCAUUUCCAUGUGUUCGCUCGGAUCUAGGUCCGGGUUUGAGUCCUAAGAAGUGGCCAGCAUUGUUCUCCUCACUUUUUGCCCACCACAUGUUGGACGAAAUGCUUGAACCGAACCUGUGUAGACCUCUCUUUGUGCUGAGCAUUCUAGCCGACUGCCAUGCGUUCGUGAUAAUGCCUAAACAGAGCUGCGUCCUUGUUCGAAGAGGGUCUUUCAAAUCAAAACAUCUAAAUUUUUUAGAAAAAUUAUAACUUUCGACUUCAGAUCAUUCAGUUCGCGUUUGUUUACCUGAAAUUUGAGUUUGCGGUUAUGCAUUUUUGUCUAAAGAUCGGAUGUGUCAGUUUGUCGAUCCAUGAGUGUUCUCCUUUUACUGGGAAAAGAGUGAGUGCCUAUUCAUGAGAGGAGAAGUCGGCGUUGAAGUGGCCGUGAGUUGUGAGCAAUGGGCUUGGUAGGUUUAAUGAGAUUUGGGUUUUUGGUCGAUUGAGAGAGCUUGGGUUGGUGUGGGCUCAAACAGAUUCUAGGCCUUAGUUUUAGACGUAGGGGCAGCUUGGUAUUCUGCUUCUUGGCCGAGAGAGAGAUUGGAGAAAGAGGAAGCAACCGAGAGAGAGUGAGCCUUGAAUGAGAGGGAGGGAGAGGAACGUUGGCUCAGCGACGCCUAGUGAAGCCCACUCUUCCUGACUGGCCGAGCGACUGCAGCCGGUGAUGCCACACCCACGAGGUAAGCCCGCGUCCCCUAUUCGCCAGCCUUGAUCAAACUGUCGGAGCGAGGCUUGCUGGCCUGGACUUGCUCAUGCCUCUCUCUCUCUCUUCAGCGCUGGUCGUGCUCGACUCGUUGGCUCUGGUGGCUUAUACACCCCCUGCAGUGUAUGCUUCUAUGCACUGAUGAGUGAGUGAAUGUUUCAAAGCAAUUGAAAGCAAAUUUUUAGUGUUUGCAAUAAUGAGAAGUUGAAGCAAAUUUUUAACUGAGGAUUCCUCUGUGCUUCUUGAGCGAAAUGCAGUUAGGUUCAUGUAAGACUUUUCGCAUAAUUCUGAAGAAGUGAUACAAGCAGUGUUUUAACCGAGGUACUAUGUUUCGCCAUGCAGGCUAAUGUUAUGCAUAAUUAAGAACUGUUGAUGAAAUUAUGAGCAAGUAUUCGAAAGAUCUCAACAAGGACAAACAAAUCCCGUUCAUCCUGACCUUUCCAUCUUCUACAUCCAUCUCGAGUUAGCUACGUCAGCCUCACUACUAACUGAUUCCCCAUUUUGACAAGAUUCAACCCAUCCUGCAGUUUUUUCUGCAAACUAAGGGGGCAAAAAGACAUGAACAAGAAUAGUACAUUUACAAGAGACGCAUGUCGGUGGCUAGUGGCUACUACUGACGGUGACAGGAUCUCUCCUCCACUCGAUUUCUCUUACACUUUUUAACUAUGUUGCAACCCCACAUCAGAAUGCAAAUUCCAUGCAUGGCAUUAAGUAUUUUCUUGGAAAAGAUCAAGCCUCAGCUGAUUUAAAAUCCCAUAAUAAUUUUAUCAUCCAAAACCAUAGAAACCCCCACAUGUUAGGUAGUUGAAAGAAAGGAUCAAGUCACCACGAGGAUUCCUAAACAAGGAAGCAUAGUCAAAUGAAGCUUAUGCUGAUGCCUUUAAUACAACUAGUUUCCCUCGGUUGAGCUAGGUGUUCCAGGAAGCUAAUUUAGACUAGUUUAUCGUAAUGGAACUCAUUUACUUGUCAAAAUAAAUCAGAAACAUGUUGUCAAGGGUUCUGAGGUAAGCAAUACCUCAGUGACCGAGCCUCCCGGUGCUCACGCUUAUCAGUUAUCACUCCAGAUUAAUAUAUGGCUGCUCCCAAGGUAAUCCCUUCCGUGCUAUCUUCUUCUAAUUGCACUCAAGUUCCCAGCGCAAUGUGUUGUUGCGAGGCCUAACAAAAGGAGUAAGUCAAGCACUUGUCGGCCAAAAAGAAAAUAUGAAACGAUAGCACUUAGAUUUGAGGACAUUAUUUGCAGUACAAAGACCCAUUACCAUUGGAUUCACGAUUGUCAUUCCUUUUAAUUUUUGAGUACAACUGGAGCAGUUUGUCCAAAACCAAUGUCGAUCUCAUUAAGAAAGCAAAUUCAAUUGAAGCUCGAGCUCACAUGCUGAAAAUACUAUAAAUUUGAGAACCAAAUUAUUUGUCUAUUCCUCACGUCGACAAAUGUGAAGUCGGGAAUGAUCUUGUUUAUUUGUUUGUGAUGAGUCUAACGUGCUUAAAGCAUUUUGGUUGUAUGAAGGUCGGAUGGAAAAAUGAAUGUUAUACUAGAUAUUAGAUGGCUUCAAACAUAGUUAAGCUUUUUAAAAGUAAAAAAAAGCAAUUUCUUGCUUUUCAAUUAAAUUUUUUAAAAUCUUUUAAAUUUCAAAAAACAUAUGAUAAAUUUGUUUGUGAAUUUACGUAUUCAGUAUUUGCAUAUUGUGAGAAAAUUUUGAAUGUUUCGGGUUAAGAAAAGGUAAAAGUGCGUCUAUCAAAAUAUCUAGAGGAAGGAAAGAACCAAAAGUAAAUUUCUAUUCAUGAUUUUAAUCAAACUACAUGAUCCUUGUAUGGGCAUUACAAUCGUACGUAGAUUGAGAUCCGAGGGGAUGGUUAAGUGAUUGUAUUGGUGAUGAGUAGCUUUCGGAUAUGUGAGUGCUAAUGAAAUAUUAUCUAUUCAUUAAUUUUGUUUAUAAAGAUAAUCAACAGAGUUGUUAAUGUUUUAUGAAAAGGGAAAAUGACACAAACAGUUUAUGAAGUUUGGGCCAAUAUAAAAUAUCAUCCCCUAGCUUUUUAUUUGUUCAAUAUAGUUCUUGAAUUCUAGUCUAAUGUACAAUAUAAUCCUUGAACUUUUGAUUUGUGCAAUAUGAUCCUUGAAAUUUUGGUAAAUAUUCAAUCUAGUCCUUGAACUAUAUGAAAAUGUUUAAUAUUAUCCAUUAACUUAAAUUAAUGGAAUGAUAAUAUUGGAUAUCUUCGUAAAGUUCAAGGACUAGAUUAAACUCCACAUCACAUAUUUGACUAAGGUUUAUGGACAACAUUGAGUAAAUUAAAAGCUGAGAGAAGAUAUUACAUAUUUGACCAAAGUUCAAGAAUUAUUUAUGUAAUUUCUUGUGAAUAUGAUAGAGAAGAAACUGACAUCAAAGUUCCAUUUUUUCUUAAUCAUGGUUUGUGUGCCUCACAAGGCAAAAUCAAGAGUCCCACGCUUUCUUAAUUUUUGUCCGAAUGGUCUAAAUUCAAUUUUCAAAAUUGCCAAAUUAAACCAUAAUCCCCAGAAUGUGGUGACCCCCUUCAAUGCACUUGAUAAAAGAAAGAAAAUUUUCAACUAUCUAUUUAUAAUAUUUUAUUACCAAUUCAUGUCUCUUAGAAUCCUAAUCUCUGCUUUUGCAUGGAAUAUUUUAAGAGAAAAAGUGUGAGAGAGUGAUCGGAUUACCGUAAAAUUUUUAAAUCUUUAUGGAUUACAGUAUUUUAUAUAGGCAUUACAAUAAAACAUGUAUGAUUAUGAGCUAAGAAUUUUUUUUUUUUCAAUGGAUUAUAGUGGUAAAGGCGAUGUAGACUCAAAUUGGAUUUUAGGCCUAAAUUUUGACUGAAGUCCCUCACCAUAAAAGUAUACCUAGUUUAGAUUUUCCAAUGGGACGUGAUCUUAUUCUGGCCCAUCACGUGUGCAAAGGAGACAGUCCAUGACUCAAGAGGAACUAAGCCCAUAAAAACUAAAAAAGAAAGUCAACAACUUAUCAGUUUAAAAAAAAGGGGGAAAAAGGAAACGAUUGCUUCCAAAAUGGAGGACGUUGGAGCACGAUGAUUCCUUUCAAUUGGAUUCAAGAUUGCGAAAUUGAAUCCCUCUGCACUAACAAUAACAUAAUCAGACCAUUUGAAGGGUAGAAUUGAAAAGAAGACGAAAAAGUGAACGUCUUCACGUUGGGGCCCUCCACAUGAUUAAGACAAAUUCAUUGGAAUAAAGAAAAUUGGGUUAAAAGAAAAAGAAAGAUAAAUCCUUCACCAUCGAAUUGGAAUGCAAUAAAUCUUAGUCAUUCAAUAAAUGUGAUUGUGAUUUUUACCAUCCAAUCUAAUGUUAAAGGAUCUACAUUUUAAUUCGACCCAUCAUGUGUAACAUGAUAAGAAAGUUCUUUCAUCAUUAAAUAAUUCGUAUGUUUUUUUACGAGUGGGGCCGGACUUUAUUUGGGGCCGUCACGUGUAACAUGAUGAGAAACCAUGACUCACAGAGAAGAGCUAGCCCAUGAAGACCAUAAAAGCAAGUCAAGAACCUAUAGGUCAAAAAUAGAGAAAAAAGGACACAAUAACUUAUAAUAAUUGAGUACAUGAUAGCACGGUAACUCCUUUUGAUUGGAUCUUGAUCGUCAUUGCUCUAAUUAUUGAGUUCAAUCAAAUUAUAAAAUUUUCAUAGCUUUGGACUAACAAUAAUAUAAUUAGACCAUUUAAGGAGAAAAGCAAGUGAAAAAGUUAAAGAGGAUUUCAUCUUCAAUGCCCUCCGCAUGAUUAAGACAAAUUGAUUGGAAAAAGGAAAACUGGGGCAAAUCAAAUAAAGCUUACGUUGAUUUUGUUUUUACGAGGAUUUCAUGCAUUCAUACCUUCAUGAGUGUUUUAGGGGUUGAAGACUUGGUGAGCAAAAGCAGAGGAAGGCCCACACAAAAUGAGACGCACUCCUUUGGAAAUGUGAAAAAGGUAAGAGGACUUCAUGAUCAAUACCUUCUACAUGAUUAAGACAAAUUGAUUGGAAAAAAAUAAACUAGGGCAAAUCAAAGAUAAAGCUAGGGUUGAUUUUGUUCUUGAUGAGGAUUUCAUGCGUUCAUACCUUCAUGAGUGUUUUAGGGGUUGAAGACUUGGUGAGCAAAAGUUGAAGAAGACCCAUACAAGAUGAGUUGCACUCCUUUCGAAAUGUGAAAAAGUGAAGAGAACUUCAUAAUCAAUGCCCUUCACAUGAUUUAGACAAAUUAAUUGAAAAAAAAGAAAACUGGGGCAAAUCAAAGAUAAAGCUAAUGUUGAUUUUGUUCUUUACAAGGAUUUCAUGCAUUCAUACCAUCACAAGUGUUUUAGGGGUGAAGACUUGGUGAGCAAAAACAGAGGAAGACCCACACAAGAUGAGUUGCACUCCUUUUGAAAUGUGAUCUCUUUUAAAAUGAUUUCAAACUAAAAAUUUCACAGAAAAAAAGGAAUUAUGUGGGAAGAGGAAGCUCCAUCGAGCCAGAAGAUGUGAGACUUGCAAGGUGCAUCUACUUGAGCUUAAAAGAACCGGCAGAAGAGUGCCAUUAACCAUAUACUGAAAAUUAUGAAAACAUUGCAUGUGAAUUCGCGUAUCAUUAUUUGCAUAUUGAGAAAAUUUCAGACUUUUCGGGUCAAGAAAAGGAAAAAGUGUGUCCAUCGCAAAAUGUAGAUAAAGUAAAGAAUGAAAAGUAAAUGUCUAUUUAUGUGGUUUUAAUUAAACUACGUGAUACUCAUAUGGACAUUACAAUUGCACGUGUAUUUAACUUCAAGGUGUUGGUUAAGUGAGUCCGUUGGUGCUGAAUAACUUUAAGAGAUCUGAAUGCUUACGAAAUACUAUCUACUCAUUUAUUCUGUCCGUGAAGAUAAUCAGAGUCGCUGGAAUAAUAGAGAAGAAACUGACAUCAAAGUUCUAUUAUGUCUCAACCAUGACUUUUCUACACCAUAAGGUGAAAUCGGGGAGUCCCACGCUUCCCUAAUUUCGUCCUAAAUGGUCUGAAUUAAAUCUCCAAAUUUCCCAAUCAAACUGAUUAAAAAAGGAAAACAUUUGAUCUCACAAUGACGCCCCAUUUGCAAAGAAUUGGGCAUUUGUUGUGCAUCUAAAGUGGGAUUGAUUGGUUUGGCUUAGAGUCACCUGUAGCUAAGCUGGCGUAAAAAAUUAUUCUCACUUGCCCAAUCUUAUAGGGGGUGUCAACGGUUCGGUACGGUUCGGUUUUUUCGAAAAACCGAACCGAACGGAACUGUUUGAAAACUCUCCCAAACCGAACCGAAUACAAACCGAACCGAAAUUUCGGUUCGGUUCGGUUCGGUUUUUCAGUUUUUCGGUUUUUGGUUUUCAGUUUUUUUUUUCUUUUUUCGUCUUCGUUUGAGGUCAGCGGCAGCCAAAAAGCUUCCAUUUUUCUCUGAGAUUUCGUCCGUCCAUCUUCAUCGAUAAGUACUUGUCUUAUUUUGCUCAGCUAUUGGAUUCGUGAUCAGGCCCUUCUUUUCCAUGUUGUUUUUUUUGGUGGGUCUCUCUGCAAUGCAUCAAGACGAUGGCGGCUACGGUGAUUGAAUUGACAUAGAAAACAUGAGAAUGAGAGCAAUCGAUGAGAAAGAUCUUUCAAUGAACCCUCAGUAACUCUAAAAACUAAUGCUUUGUUUUCCCCCAUCCUGUUAUGGCCGAUCUCGCGGUGUUCAAUUAUGGGAUGCGACGAUGAAAGUUGGUAGUCAGAGAUGGUGAUCAGUGGAUUCUGGCGUUGAUUGGUGGUGAAGAAACUUUUUGGAACUCGGCGGAUGAAGAGGAGUGACCUUUGAGCGAGCGGUUCACUGACAGAGUCUUCCUUCUUUUUCCCUUCUGCUUUGCUGGACCCAGAAGCAAUAUUGCAAAGCAAAUAUUCUCUCUCCAAUUCUCUGCUUUUUUCAGAUAAUUCAAUUGCCAGAUCACAGAGAUCUACUUGCUCUACUUGCUCUCAUCAGCUCUGGUCCCUAGCAUCACAUUCUCCCUCUCUCGCGUUGCUCUGUUUCACGAUCGAAAAACAGAGCAAACGAGUCUCUGCUGAAAUGGACCGGCUCUCUGCAACUAGUCUCCUUCCCCACGUUCGGAGGAGCAAAAGACGACAUCUCCAUGCAACUUUCGCUGAUUUGGGCUCAUAAAAAGAACCGAAUUUUUAAUAGUUUGAUUUUUAUCGGUUUGUGGUUCGGUUUGGUUCGGUUAACCGAUAAAAACCGAACCAAUAAAAAAAAUAUUGGUUUUUAACGAGAACCGAACCGAACCGAAAAAAACUGAAUUUUUCGGUUCGGUUCGGUUCGGUUCGGUUUUCGGUUCGGUUCUUGACACCCCUACAAUCUUACAUAGCCGGCUUAGUUAUCGUCGCUGCUGCUACUGUUCCUAUGGUGAUCUUUUUGGAGUCAAAGAAUAUAAUCCAAUUUUUCUUCUCGACAUUAUGUUCCGCAUAUAUAUGUGCAGGUCCUGAAAAGGCUGCUAAUCCAAACUGCACUUGAAAUUUGUGCUUAGUGAAGACUAUCCAGAAAUGGAUAAAGUGAGAUUGCCAAAAAAAAAAAAAAAUUGUAAAAAUUAUCUACGAUAGCAUUGGUCAUAUCACAUAGGACGGAUGAUGUCUACAUCAUUGAUUUUCAAUCAAAAUUGGCUCAAAUGAUAAAAUUGGCAUCUCAUUAAAAUUAUUUAAGGUUAUAUUGACCAAAUUAAAAUAUUUAAAAUUAAAUUUGUACAAAUAUAAUAGAUUUAGAACUUUUUUAAUAAUAUCCGCUCAAAAAUGUGUUAGUGUAUGAGUUUUAGUCUUUCCUUUGCUGUGAAUGUUUGACAGGUGACUACGCUCAGAGGUCCAAAAACAUCCAACGGGAAGGGGGUCGAAUAGCUGGGAACAAGUUAUGCUUGGUAUGGGGUCCAUUCAUAUACAACAUUUUUGUUGCCAGGAACCUCCUAUGGAUUGUUGAGAGAAGACAUGAUUCCUAAAUGCUGUAACAGGAGAUAAUUGACACUGGAUGAUGAAGAAACGAUAAGCCAUCGGCUAUCACAAGUGUCUAAGUGGCAUCUUUUUUCCCCCCAAAAAGGAAACUUACAUUUAUUACAAAAAUGAUACCUAAAAGAUUCAUAAAUUAUCUCAGAAAUCACCAUAGCGAUGCAGCCGUAGAGUUGCAAACAAAUCAAAAUACAUAAAUUAAGGUAUAUUGUUAGAGCAUGGUUAGCAAAGGUGAACAUAUGCUUGUCCUUCAAGAACAGAUUUGUGAUUGCGUCUAAGCAAAAAAAUCGGUAUUAAUCACUGAAUCACAUGUCAUCAUCAAUGAUGAGCACACCUCAAGAUUUCCAUAUGUAGCUAUGACUUUGCCUUUUGGUGAUGUGCACCUAGGUUCAAUAUCCCAACACCAAAUGUGUUUUGCAUAAUUUCUUUUAAUUUUUCACCUUCAAUAUAAGGUGAGCAUGCUUUGCUUUGCUUUUCUUUUCUGUUUUUUGGAGGAGAAAUAAGGUGAGAAUGCUCGAAUGAAAAUAACCGGGGAAUUCUUGUACAUCUCACAAGUGAAAAAUAGGAAGUAAGUUAUGAUUGUUUUAGACUUAUCAUCUUAUCCUUUUUCCAAGCUCCAACAAUGCUUUGAGUCAAAUUUUGUGAUUUUAUUGCUAUUUGACUUGAUAAAGAUUUGAGUGCAAUGGCGCAAAAGAUGAUUCAUAUGCCCAACCCUACUCAACUGGCUCAGUUGUUGUCAUUGUUGCUGCUGCUUCUACGGUCGGUCUUUCCGGAGUCAAAUUUGGAAAUUUUUUAAUUUUCUUCUAGACAUUAUGUUUGCAUAAAUUUUAUAACGGAUGAUGCAGAAAUAAACCAUUGGCAAUCACACGGGUUUUCAGUAGUAUCCGUGGAGAUGAAUGCAUGAUGGCUUUUUUUUUUUUUUUUUUUUGGGGGGGGGGGGGGGGGGGGGGUGUGGCUUAAGGGAUUCGUUCCUCUCUUGCAUGCUCCUUCUAUUCGUCUUUCGCAAUGGAAAACUUGGAACUUGAAGGAGCUUCGGUUUCUAAUUCAGGAAGCAGCGACAGUUUGAGCUCGAGUCGAACCGCGGAGUAGUGGGUUUUCAUUUGAUGCAUUCUUCUGGUAUUUCCAGCAAGCAAUCACUCCGAUUUUUUUAAAUGAGAACUGUGUAAAAAGAUCAGAGUUGGAUGAAGAAAAUUACGUCUUCUAUUUUCCUUGCAUAUGGGCACAUUGCAACAUUAUAGAUUUAAGUUUCAUCCGAUCUUAACAAGGAAGGUCGCGAUUUUUCAUUUUUCAAGCUAACGGUGCAGGGAUGCACAGCUUUCCAGUUCUCCUUUUCUUUUAAAUAAUGUAAUAAUAAGAAUUGGCCAAGAAGAAAGCCAUUAGUCAUCUUUUCUGUCUUUUGAAGUAUUUUUUCCAAGCCACGUAUUACGUUUUUGUUUUUUUGUUUUUUUUUUUUUGGCCAUAGAGAUUGAUAAAGAAGAAAGUCAUUACCCGCUAUUGAAACUCAAUCAUCUAGACCAAUUCAUACGAAAUAGAUCAAUUCUGAAAUUUAUUGCUCGAUGUGUUGACACUAGAGAUUUCACUAAAUGUCUUCACCUAUCAAAAACCUUUAUUUGAUGGUAUAUGAAAGAAAUUUUUUAAUCAUUUAUAUAUUAUCGCGCGAAGUCUCUCUUUAAUGUAGUAUCCUUGUCUCUGAUUUUGCAUCCAAUAUUUUAUAAGAAAAAAGGUGAGAUUGUCAUUGGAUAAUCGUAUAUUUUUCACAUCUUUAUACAUUACGGUUAUAUAUAAACAUUACAGUAAAACUCGUUUGAUUAUGAGCUGCAACCUUUUUUCAAUGAAUUGUAAAGGUAUUGGUGAUCCGUGCUCCGAUUAAGGCAUCCAUCCUAAAUUUUCACCAAAGUUCCUCCAUCAUAAAAGUAUGCUUUACGUAAAUAUUCUGGUCCACCGUGUGUAACAUGAGGAGAGUCCAUGACUCGCCGGUGAAGACCAGAAAAAGUAAGCCAGGAAUUUAUCGGUUAAAAAAAGAAAUAAUAAUCAAAGUGGGCUCCUGACGGAAGAAAAAACUUGAUGCACGAGCAAAUGUGAUUUUCUCAAUGGUAUGAGAUUCAUCAUGGCGAUUAGCCAUCUAUAAAUAUCUUAUCAGUCUUGUUCUUGAGAACAUGCGAACCUGCACAAUCUCACACCGUCAAAACCACCCCAAAAUCAUGGCCUCGUCCUUAUUUCUGUGGAAGCCGUCUUCUUUAGGGGUUUUCUUAUUCUACUCGCUCUUCUUCGUAAACAUCACCAUCUUUGUUUCCACUCCAUUUCAUGGCAUAGUCGUUUCUGCUUCCUCCAUUUCUUUCGCUCCCAAUACGACCAACCAUACGGAUGAAGCAGAGACUCUCCUGGAAUGGAAAUCUAGUCUCGAAGACCACAACCGAUCUCUCCUGUCUUCAUGGCAUGGUAACAACUCUUGCCACUUCAUAGGUGUCACUUGUGACGACUACGGAUUUGUUGCCCAUCUUAAUCUUUCUAAUCUUGGCUUGAGAGGAACUUUAAAUAGUCUCGACUUCUCACACUUAACCAAGGUGGUCAGUCUUGACUUUUCCAGCAACUUGAUCUACGGUCCUAUAACCUCAAGUAUCGGUAACCUUUCCAAACUCAA